This 52098-nucleotide long non-coding RNA is filed under the name Triticum aestivum (bread wheat). Its description in RNAcentral is "long non-coding RNA (TAES_LNC013651)". The stretch from base 19682 to 19816 matches the Rfam family "MIR1120/MIR1122 microRNA precursor family". The record is from RNAcentral. Lineage: Eukaryota; Viridiplantae; Streptophyta; Magnoliopsida; Poales; Poaceae.
GAGAAACUGAUUGACCGGUUUAUACUUAGCAUCAACAUUGAGAGUGUGCUCAACGAGUUCUCUCGGUACACCAGGCACGUCAGAAGGCUGCCAUGCAAAGAUGUCCCGAUUCUCACGGAUGAACUCGAUGAGCGCGCUUUCCUAUUUCGGAUCCAAGUUAGCGCUGAUGCUAAACUGCUUGGACGAAUCGCCAGGCACGAAGUCAACAAGUUUAGUCUCAUCAGCGGAUUUAAACUUCAGGGCCGGAUCAUGCUCCGUAGUUGGUUUCUUCAACGAAGUCAUAUCUGCCGGAUCAACAUUGUCCUUGUAAAACUUCAACAACUCUGUUGCACAAACCGACUCAGCAUAAGCCGCAUCACCUUCCUCACACUCCAGAGCAAUCUUGCGGCUUCCAUGCACGGUUAUAGUUCCCUUGUGACCCGGUAUCUUGAGCUGUAGAUAGACAUACAAGGCCGUGCCAUAAACUUAGCAUAAGCUGGCUGUCCAAAUAGGGCAUGAUACGGGCUUCUGAUUUUCACCACUUCAAAGGUCAAGGUUUCUGAUCUCGAGUCAUGCUCAUCUCCAAAAGCCACCUCCAGAGCUAUCUUACCAACAGGAUAUGCCGACUUACCAGGCACCACACCAUGGAACACCGUAUUGGACGGUUUAAGAUUUUUAUCUGUUAGCCCCAUGCGACGGAAAGUUUCAUAAUAAAGGAUAUUGAUACUACUCCCUCCAUCCAUGAGUACCUUAGUGAACUUAUAACCUCCCACCUGAGGUGCCACCACCAGAGCCAGAUGACCCGGAUUGUCAACCCGGGGUGGAUGUUCUUCUCUACUCCACACAAUGGGCUGCUCGGACCAGCGCAAAUAACGGGGCACCGCCGGUUCAAGGGCAUUCACCACCCUUUUAUGAAGCUUCUGAUCGCGCUUGUCCAAGCUAGUGGUGAAGACAUGAUACUGUCUGCUAUUCAACUGCUUCGGGUUGCUCUGGUAACCCGACUGCUACUGCUGCUGAUUGCCCUGAUGAUUAUAGCCACCUUGGUUACCUUGAUUACUUUGAUUGUUAUGUCCACCCUGAUUGCCAUGGAAUCCUGAACCGGAAUUUCCUCCGCCAUAACCCGUCCCAUGAGAGACAGAGCCCGAACCGCCUCCUGAUCCAUGAUCAUACCGGAAAGAAUCAGAAUUUUUGAACUCUUGCAUGAUGUAACAAUCUUUCCAGACGUGUGUAGACGGUUCCUCCUUCGUCCCAUGUCUUGGACAGGGCUAGUUCAACAGAUACGACAACCGGUCCGGAUAGGAUUCGGCAUUCCACUGCACCGGGGCGGUUUACCCUUACGCCGCUGGCCCUUUUCGUGUGUAUUAGUGUUAGCCACAAAGUCUAAACUGUGGUCCGCUUUAUGCUUGUCGCCGUUUCCAUGACCCGUCGGGUUGUGGUGCUGCCCCUUGGCGUUGCCGCUCUUCUUUCCCUUCCCUGUCUUAUCAUCGUCAGACUCGGGAUCCUUGGUACUAUCAGAGUCGGCAUACUUCACCAGUGUAGCCAUGAUGGUUCCCAUGUCAUUACAAUGACAUUUGAGCCGUCCCAACUUCAACUUCAAGGGUUCAAACCGGCAAUUGCCUUCCAAUGUUAAAACUGCGGUGUCAGCGUUGAUGCAGUCUGAUGAAUGCAAAAUCUCCGAAACCCGGCGCACCCAAUGGGUUGUUGACUCUCCUUCCUCCUGGACACAGGCAGCUAAGUCCACAAUUGACAUGGGCUGCUUGCAUGUAUCCUUGAAAUUCUGAAUAAACCGGGCUCUCAACUCGGCCCAUGACCUGAUAGAAUUAGCCGGUAAGCUCUUUAGCCAAGUGCGGGCCAUUCCUUCUAGCAUCAUGGUGAAGUACUUCGCACAUGCCGCAUCAUCCACGUCCAGCAUCUCCAUGGCCAUCUCGUAGCUUUCAACCCAUGUUUCAGGGGAUAAAUCGGUGGUGUAACUCGGCACCUUGUGCGGGCCCUUGAAAUCCUUGGGCAGGCGCACAUUGCGCAAAGUUGGGACAAGACAUGGCACUCCCAAGGAACUAGAGGUAACUCCUGGUUCCACCGAUGUGGUUGGACGAACCGGAGUAAGCUGACAGGCCUCGUGCUGCGCCGCUAACUCGGCCUCUUUGCGUGCCCGAGCCCGGUCCACCACCUCCUGAGCACCACCAGCACCACCCGCCGGGUUAUGGCCACGGGGCGGAUCACGGUUCCGCGCAUUGCUUGAUACUGCCAGUUCGUCCAUACGCCUGCUGUAACUCCGGCUUGGACGGGGAGUGGAAUGAAUCCGAUCGCGACUAUAUGAAUAAGCCUCCUGUUGAACCAAGGCUGUCUGAAGAAGCUCCUUAACCCGACGCGUCUCAACCACUGCUGGAGAAUCGCCUUCGAUCGGGAUGGCCGCCAGCCGUGAAGCGGCAACGACAAUGUUGUCCAUUUGGUUAGAAUAAUGACCAGGUGGCGUGGGGACAUGAGGUACCACAAUGUUGUUCUGACGAGGUGGAUCCACCAAACGUGGCUGAACUGGCGCCCCUACUCCGGGUGCCUCUGCCCGGUUUACCACAGGCGGAUUACUGGUCCCUGCUCCUAGCGUCAUAAACCGGCGGCAGGCGAGAUCGGUGCCUCCUCUUCAGGACUUCGUUCGACGCACUCUGAUCCAGCAUAAUCCGGUAAGCUUGUGCAUCCAAAGCGGCCCGCUCCGCGGCUAUCCUGGUAUCCUCAACUGCUAAGUCGGCUUUUGCCUGGGUGAUCUGAUCUUUCACUUUCGCGAUUUCUGCAUUGUGUGCAUCCUGAUCCGCCGGGUUAACCUCCACCAUCAGCAUUGCCAACACAUCAAAAAAAUCAGAUAGAACCUGAGCUGGCGGUCGCACAGGGCCUCCUGCCCCAGCCACUGUCGCCGCUGCUGAUCCGGAAAUCAUCGCCGCUGCGGUCGAAGAGUGGAGCGCUGGUUGCGUGCCGGCCAUGAAGAUCGCCACCCGGUUUGGCAGAUCAAAGGGGUCCGGAAUACUGUCGCCAUUGGAACAGCCCUCAAUCCGGCCAUCUUGUAACUGAUAUAACGACUCGGUCUCUCCAGUCGAUGACUCGUCGCCCGAAUAAACGAUGGUCUCACCACCAGAUUCCGAUCUAUCCUCAGAUUCCCCUCCAUGGAUAACUCCCACGAAGGCACGCUUCAUGACAUACUUGACCCGGGCAGAUCUCGCACGCUAAGCCGUUUCGACGAGGUCGGUGCAGAUGUCCGGCUCAGGGCCCGGUUCGCUGAUCUUGCCAAUGAAAACGUGUAUGCCACCAAAGGGGACCCGGUACCCGUACUCGAUUGAGCCGGCCUCGGGGCCCCAGCCUGCAUCGUCGAUGUAGAGCUUGCCGCGACGACUUUUGGUCAUCCGGCCCACAGGGUAACCCUUGAGUCCAUCAAAGUUGCCCUCCAAGGACUUGAAACCAUCAUGCGAUAGCCCCACGGUGGGCACCAACUGUCGUGGUUUUGUCAUGGCAGAUGUCCUAGAGAAAGGACUUAGUCGUGGAGCCAUCGCUACGGGUUAGCUUAAAGGGGUAAAAGCGGACAAGGGACGCAAGAGAGUUUUAUACUAGUUCGGCCCCUUACGAUGAAGAUAAAAGCCUACGUCUAGUUGUGAUGGAAUUGAUGGGGUUUCGAUGACCAGGGAGCGAAUACGCUUUGCCUGAGUCUCGAGUUGUUGUCUGUUGUCCUUGAACCGCCACCGGGUCGUCCCCUUAUAUACAUGGGUUGACGCCCGUCGGUUUACAGACUCCGAGGCCGGCUCAUAAUCGUGUCCGGCUCGGUCUCUGCUACUUCUAUCUUACAACACAAGUUUACAUCUCAAUGCCAGUUUGUGUCUAUAGGCCUUAAACCGGAUUUGGGCCCUGGGCCUUCAUGAAGCGGCACCGUCUGUCUUCAUGGGCUUCAGAUUUAGAUGAACUACUUUGAAGUUAACCCGGCCUCUCCUGGCCCUUUUCCCUCCAUUUUGUUUUUCGGAUCAGAGAAAGUUGUUGCAAAGGGAGGCCAUGGGCUGCUUGCAACCCGAGAAAGCCAUGUCCGUGCAUAUCCUCGAUGAGGUCGGACAUUUUUGCAACUGGCGUGGACUAGAGGUGACGGCCAUCGAUGCUGAAGCUGAAACCGGCUCUGCGAUUUGCUUCAACCGGCACCGGGAAAGCUACCAUCGGUGCCCGGGUUUGUUGCAACCAGGCGACGAUGAAGUGUGGCUGGCGUUGGCGGGCUACAAAUUUCGUUGCAACCGACAAUGGGAAAGCUACCACUAGCGACCGAUUUUUUGUUGCAACUGGCGUGCGUUGGUGCAAGCGACGUGUGGUGGUGCGAUGAGCGGUGACAUGGGCUGACCAUGGAGAACAAGAUUGCUACAACCGGUACGCUUUUUUGCUACCACCAUGGUGUUCGCUGUUGCAUCUACGGGGAGCUCAUCGUGGAUGACCCGACCUCACAGAUGGGACUCCACCUGUUGCUGGGAUGCCUGGAUGUCGCGUCCUUCCGAUGACAGCUGCGAUGCAUCAUGCCUCAUGCUGCUUGUACGAACCGCCAACGGCAAGGGCUGGAACUGGAGACACCCACUGCCGCCACCACGCCGACGUGAAGCUGGAACCGGCAUAGCACCAUGCUACAAAUGACAUUUUAUUUUGCUGCAACUGGCAUAGCACCCUGCUACAACCGGGGUCUCAUUUUGCUACAACGCACCGCUGGCAUCGCAUUUUUACUACAACCGCGUUGCCUUUUUGCUACAACCGGCUUCCUUUUUGCUACAAUCGGUGGCGGCACUGAUGUAGACGUUCAUGGGGAAAUCAAAUCAGAUUAAAGUGUGCGAAGGAUUUAUUUUUCUUUCUCAGCAUGGGGGCCAGCCCUCGAUCUGGAGCGUACGUACGUACGCACGCGAUCAGAAGCUCUGCGGGCGACCGGCCUAAAUUUGAGCCGGCGUACCGGCGCCUAUCAUCGCCUAAGGGUAAAAGCCCUUAGGCAAAGAUCAAAACAACUCUGAUAUUUCACGGAGGGUACCCAAAAGGGUGCUCAAAAAACUUGGCUCCUGCUUGUCGCCACAGCUCAAUGGAGUUUCUGAUGGCCCCUGUUAUAUUGAGCCAGCUUGCAGCCUUGGCUCUGAAGGUGCAGCAACCUGCCAGUUUGGCAACACCGUGUCUUGGUCUUGCACAGUGUCAUGACAGUAGAUACGCGCGUGGUCGGCCGUGUGCAAGGGUUGUGCCUUCCUAUCCCCUGACCGAAACCAGAAACGAUGUAGUUCGACUGAAAGAGCAUGCGCGCGCGCCGCAUUGCCGAGCCACCGAGUUCGUCUGGAAGUCGACUCGAGGCUACGACUCUCGAACCCCGAUCGCUGCACAUAUAUAUAAUCGCAAGGAAAGCAAAUCACCGCACCAGUGAAAGUACAAAGGGCGUGUUUGGUUGCCCGCAUCGAGCCCAACUAGGCCCGCGCGGGAAGGGAGAGGCCUGUUUGGUUGCCUGGUUUUCCUGUUGGGCUUGCAUCACACGCUCCUCAAAGCAGCCCAGAGCCUGGCUCGCUGGAAACGCUCGGAUCGGCAGUUUCUCGCGAGCCAGGCUGAGUGCGGCGCGAGGUUGCACGGGCGGGAGCGAGGCGAGGGCGAGGGCGAGGGGGGAUGGCGGGAGAUGGAAAUCUGGCGCGCCGUCCCGGCGCCAAAUUAGCCUCACCCCCCUUUCACUCGCUCACCCAUUAGCCACUACCCCCCUUUCUUCCCUACUACCUCACCACCGGCGGCGGCUGCGAUUUCAUAUCUGUGCUAUAGGCAGCGGUGGCGGCGGAAGAGGCGGCGGCGUUUGCAGCGGAUCUGGUGCUCCCCUUGCUAUUGGCCACCGUCUCGUCAACCUAGUAUGUGCCAUGGCUCCCCCUACGUCGUCCUCGUCUCCGAUGUCGGUAAGCAGCACCCCUCCCCCCUUUGUUAGCUCAGUGGUUAGGCCGUUAAGCUAGGUGUAGGAUCGAUUUCCCACUGAACGAACCGUCGAUGUCGACUAGGUUAUGGAUGCACGGAUGAGGCUGAUAAUCCAUGCAACAGCACUGAUUAGUGUGAUUCAGGCAUGGGUCAUGUUCAUGCACCAGAGAGCUGUUCGUCGUGCUGGGAGACCUUUGAUCCGCUAUGGUCCAUUGUUUCCCCAGGAACAGGAGAGGAUCCAAAAUCUGAACUACAUCUACAACUGCAAUGACGUCGAGGCUCUGUGGAUGCUUAGAAUGAAAAGAGCACCAUUUUCCAGGCUUGUCGAGACCUUUAGGAGCAGGGGGCUAUUACAAGAUAGCAUCAACACCAGUGUCGAAGAGCAAGUGGCCAUGUUCCUCCAUGUUGUUGGCCAUAACCAGAGGUUCAGGGUCAUUCACAACAUGUUCAGGAGAUCAAUGGAGACCAUCUCUAGGUACUUCAAGCAGGUGCUUUAUGUUGUUGGGGAGCUUAGAGGAGAGAUGAUCAGGAGACCAUCUGGCCAGACUCCACCCAAGAUUCGCGGAAGCCCAAGAUGGUAUCCAUACUUCAAGGUGAGCAUUGACAAUAUACACUUUUCAUGGCUUGAUAUGCUUGUAUUGUUCAAGUUGAGCACUAACACAGGCUUGUGAUGCCAUUUUCAGGAUUGCAUUGGGGCAAUAGAUGGUACUCAUGUCACUGCCAGAGUUCCUAGGUCACAGUCUGCAGCAUACAGGGGGAGGAAGCACUACACAACACUACAAAAAAAAUACACUUCCGUGAUGAUACGUGUUUGUCACAGUAGGUCGCGUUUUUUGUCAUGCAUGUACAUCCAUGAAAAAUUUAUGACAGAAUCAAGAUAGUCAUACCUGUGCUAUCGUAGAAGUGUUCCAUGACAUUACCAAAAUUAUCAUCACGGAAGUGUCCACUUCCAUGACAAUAAAUCGCACGUCAUAGAAGUGCUUUCGUCAAGGGUGACCAACACGUGGCAUCCACCAUAACGGAACGCCGUUAAGCUAUCGGGUCGGGUUUUGGAUCCGAUAACCCAUUAACAGCCGCGACCAAUGGGGAUUUUCCACGUGUAAAAUCAUCAUUGGCUGGAGGAAACACGUGUCGGCUCAUCGUUGGGACAGAUGUCAUCCACUCAUUGGACAGAAGGCGCCUAUGAUACGUCGACACGUGGCACGGCCCAUCAAGUUUAAAUGGGCCGGCCCAACUAAAGGCCCACAAGAUUUUGCGGACCAUAAUGGGCCGGCCCAGCUAAAGGCCCACGAGAUUUUGCGGACCAUGAUGGGCUGGCCCAGCUAAAGGCCCACAAGAUUUCCCGGGCCAUAAUGGGCUGGCCCAGGUAAUGGCCCACAAGAUUUUUGUGGGCCUGUUAAUUGUUCGCCGAAUAUUUGGGCCCAACUAUAGCCCAGUGACUUUCGGCCUGUUAGAGGCCUGAUGUAGACAUGGGCCCAUUUCAGCCCGGUGUGACUUUCGGCCUGGGAAUGCCCCAUGCUGCCCAUGGGCCAUAUAUGGUCCGACGGGACAUCGGGCCCACUAACGGCCCGUGCUAAAGGUGGCAACAAUUAAGCCCAACGUGACUUUUGGCCUGUUAAAGGCCUGUCGCGUAAUUCGGCCCGUUGAUGCCUGUGCUAAGCUUUCGGCCUCUUAAAGGCCCAUGAUAUCAGUGGGCCAACUAAGGCCCGAGAUAUGUUUCGGCCUGGUAACGGCCCGUGAGCUAACUGGGCCCAAAACGGCCCGGUCUACAUUUCGGCCUGCUGAAGGCCCGUCGACGACUAGUGAAAAUUGAGGCCCAACAUGCAUUUUGGCUGCUAAAGGCCCGUGGUUUCAUCUCGGCCGUAACAGGCCAGUACAAUAUUCAGCCUGUUAAUGGCCCAACGCUACCUGGGCAAACUAAGGGCUGGGUCGACAAAAGGCCCAACUAAAAUAUAGGCCGGUGUAAGUUUGGGCCUGGCGCAAUGUGUGAAGGCCCCAAUCAUUCGGGCCCAAGAAAGACGCAGGCCGGCCCAAUUGUGGCCCGCUAAAAACCUGACCCGUUAGAGUCGAAUGUUUCGGUCCGGUCGACUACAUCUGUUUUUUUUUCAGAUAGCGAAUGAUGCAGUAACUAGUAGGAAUUAAGAACAAACCUACUCUAUACAAUAAAGAAAUUACGGCAUAGUAACUAAGAAUAAACCUACACUAUACAAUAAAGGAUUUAAGGUAUAUGACAUCCACUGGGCAUCGAAGUUCCCCACAGUGAUCAUAAAGCGCAACGAAGAAGCAGAUUACAAAAACUGGGCACCAUUGCAGCAUAACAAAAUAAUACUGAACCGAGACCACUUCCAAGAAAGUUCAAGAAAGGUUAGCCUUGCGGGGGAACUGCUGCGCAAGCUGCUGAUCAAGGCUGUGAGACCGGCCUAGCAUGUCGGUCAUAGCUUCCAGGUGUAGCUGUUUAGCGAUGAGGUUCUCAUUGGUGUUCUCCACAAUCUUUCUUAGAGAUAGGACUUCAAGUCGAAGUUGAGUUGCAGAAUGCCUUUCUGCUAGAACUUGGGACUGAAGAAGUCGAACUGAUUCAGACAACGAAUUCUGUGAGCUUGUUUGACUGUUAGUCUCAAGUUACUUGAACACUGCAUCAAGACAAGACUUUGGGGUUGUCUCGCUAUCUUCAAGAUGUUUUGCCUUCUUUGCUGCAAUAUAUGUUGGGUUUGUCUCAUAGCCUUCAGCAGACUUGUGCAUGCCAUCAGGCAUAUCACCCUGAAACAAAGCAGAGAGAUGACAGGUUUUGCACGUGUAUAAACAAAGAUGAUAAUUGUUCUGUCAAUUCUAUCCAAUUUCAAAUUAGAAAAUAAAGAGUAAGUUCAAAAUAUCAAUAGCAUAAUUUGGCAUUGUUCAUAAUGCGGGGAGCUUCACCACACUACUGGAUUACCAUGUCAACAUAACAAGCAUAGAUGAAGGGCAAAGAAAAUCGUUGUAUCUAUUUUGGAUAAUAUGCAUGGCAUGUUGUUCAUAUCAUCAGCCACAUCAGUAAGAUAAAACAGGAGAUGACAAGGUGCAAACGUGGGCUGCUUCACCACACACUGGAUUAUAGAUCCACAAAAACAAGCAUACAUAUAGGGAGUAUUAAGUAAUGUGCAUGGUAUGAAUAAGGAAUUUGGUUUUACAAGUAAAACUUAGAACUUACGGUUCUUACGAACAUGCAUUUUGGUAGAAACAGCAAACUAAACAGCAGUAGACGAUAGGGAGUAUGAGCAAAUUAAACAGCAGUUGAGGAUAAAGGCUUUAGAAGGACUGACUUACAUUAACAAUUAACACCGGCUUUAUAAUGCCCUUAUCCAUGUCAAGGGAAGGAUAACUCAAGAAUUUCAGCACAGAAUCUUCUUCAUAAGCAUUGCCUGUAGUCUACAUUUUGUAGAGAGUAAUUAUAGAUAUGAUAAUACUGGAAGGGAUAGAGAGGAUAAUGAAGAUAAGAUGCAGAUUGAUGCUACAUAAUCAACUACCAAUCCCUGGAAGUACAAGCGUUACAGGACAAAAUGUACUGACAAGAGCAAUGGGCUACACUUCUGCACUGGCAUUGUCUGUGUAUUCUACUUGUUGGUAAGAUUAAAUAUAGAUCUGAUCUUUUUUAGUAAAUGGUGGGCGAGGGAGAUAAGAUGCAGAAUGCUACAAAAUGAACCAAUCCCUCUUCCCAUAAUACAAGAGUGUUUUGAACACUAGUGUACUGUACAAAACGUUCUUAUAUUAUGGGACGGAGGGAGUAGCAGUUAAUGUAAGUACAGUGAUAGACCACGUUCAGUCCUUACAAGAGGACUGCAGAGCUAAACCUCUUCAAAAGCAUUGGGUUGAUUCUAAAUUUAUGUAAGAGUCCAUACGGAUCUUAUAAUGUCCACCAAAUGGACGAUUACGAGGCUAACAUGUGCAGUGAUGCUACAUAAUCAAACAGCUAUGAAAGUAAGUAUGGUCAUACAGGGCAAGAGGUACUCACAAGAGCAAUGCAGUGUGCAGUAUAGUUGCGAGAUUCUGUGGUCCCUUGAGAACGAAUGUUCUUCUGCUAACAGAUUUCGUACAAGUGAGACAUUAAGGCAAAUGCAGAAAUGUAGUUCAAAUUGUGAUGUGAUAUCAUAGACAGUACCUUACGCUGUAGCCGAGACCAAUGUGUAACAAGAUUAUUCCAGUCACCGUCAGAUAAAUGUAGCACCGGAGACUUUACAAAAAUUUCGUUCAGAGGCUUGCCAUCGAAGUGCGCUUGCCUCCAGUAGGAACGAUACUUCAUCAACGAGUGCUUGAAAAGCGCAACCAACCCUUGCUCGUCAUCACAAUCCAGUUUGCUCCUUGCCUAUUUAAAAGAAUGAAAUCUUGUGUCUUCUAUCAGCAGAAACAUAUGCAGUAAUGACCAUGAAUAACAUUAGUACAUUACUUACGCGUAAGUUGCGGAGGAAGACUGGAAAUUGUUCUGUGUCUGCGGUAUAAUCUUUCCAUGAAGGAAAGAUGCGCACAAAGUUCCUGACAACAACAUAAGCUUCGUCUUCUAAACUGGGAAGAAAUGGAGCAGGGGUCCUAUUUGCUGCAAUUGGGGCUCUCUCUGGUUCGAAAAGGGAUUUGGCAACUGGAUUUGGUGUACUCUUUGCUGGAAUGGGGGUUUUGCGUCGUACAGCUGGUGCUAUGUCAACUGGCGUAAUCAUACUGUUUGCUGCAGUUGGGGUCUGCUGAGUUGGGGCAUCAGAAAUGACCAGUGUAGUAGGGCUAGAGUCUGCUAGAGUUGGGGUAUUUUGUGGGUCAGGUGAUAUUGCAACUACACCUAAUGGGCUAUUUGAUUUAUCAGGUGCCACUACCUUUUCCAAAUACUUUGCUUGUGCUCCUCCACGAUCGGCAACCGCCCUCUUCCUUUUGAAUGUCUGAUACACAAGAACAACAUUUGAAUGGAUAAAUAUGGUAUGAUGACAGAUGGAAUAUGUACUGAAAAUGGAUAGGCAGGGCGUAUUCACAUACACGAUGUGUAAACUAAGCUAAUGGCAGUUCAACAAAGUAGAAGCAAUGCAAAGCAUCAGUUGCAAGAUAUGUGCGAGCAAUGUAACCUUGGAAAGUUAGAGCAAGUACCUUGAUGGGUGAAUAAGAUAGGGAUCUUCCUCUGACUCCUCCACUAGGGAGCUACAUUGACUUAGGUCUCCCUCUAGCUCAGAAUCACUAUUAGGAUCAUAUUCUGAGCAUGAAUCUGUAGGUGGAGAGCGUUUGCAUUGCAUUGCAUCCAGACUUGAUUUCAAUCCCUUAAUGCCAAGUUUGACAGCCAUGGCAUUGUUCUGCUUUUAUUCUUUUCAUGCGCGCAAGCUCAUAAUCAUUAUGAUGCUGUUCAGAAUCUGAGAUUCAUGAAAACAUAAAAAGUAGUCAGAUUAUCUAUGGAAUGCAUUGCGGAUUCAACUCGGAGAGUGUCUCCCUAUAAACCCCUGCAUAUGCAAAGUUCACCUCCCCAACCGUGCUGACCAGAGCACACACAGAAAUACAAACCCCUUAUGUCUCUAUAACAGGCAGGCACACAUUUCAAAACUGAAGUAGGAACAUUAGAAUCAUAUGAAAUUCGUAUUUGAACAGAUAAACUAAGCAAUUAUGAGUGGCGUAAUGUUUAGCUUCAAGGGUGGAGUGUUGGUAGUGCGACACAAAGCAAGUAGGCAGAUUGUAUUCCAUGUAAAAGAUCGAAACCUAUGUAAAAGCUGGAAAUGACACUUUCUUUCUAUACAAUGCAGUGUUCGUUACCCACACAUGAUGGAAGAGAUCACAUAGAGAAAUACUAUUCACUCAUGUCUACGGUUCCAGUAUUUAGAAACAGGGUGGUCCACCCUAAAAGAAUAUUGACAACAAAUAUGACAAGGCAAGCAUAGAUGUAGUGAAUCAAUCAUUUACUUGUGAGCUUACUAGGACAAGUAUGCAGAAUUGUAACUGCAGUAAGAGACCGUCCAAAAUCUGAAUGAAGAAGUUUGUCUAGCACUUAUUGUUUGCAACUAAUCGACGUGAAUAAUUGGAUAUUAUAUCGAAUGAGUAAGAAAGACAAGUAAAAUUGUCAACAAACCUGGCUUGCAGUAGUAAUCUGGGUCAAUGUCACUACGACCAACAAUCCAAAAUGACUAGUUUCUGUUCCGAGGGCCGGAAUUUUGAAAACCCUGUGAACUUUAGAGGUACUAAAGAUUACCGAAAUACAUCUAAACCAUUAAGUGUAGGUAGCACUGAGCACACAACAAACCCUAAUGACAGUCCUGCCUAAUGAGUAAUGAAUCAAUUAGAAAAUGGGUGAUGAGGAGUGGCUGCUGAGUGUUGAGGGCGUAUCUCAGGAUAAAUCGGGUUGGCUUGGUGGGUGCUGCACGCCUGAGCCCUGAACGGACUGGGAAGGUAGGCACGGUGGCGCGCCCGGGCAGCGGUGACGCUGUUGGGCGAGCGGCUCCUGGCCUCCUGUUAGUCCGGCGUCUCCUCCUAGAGUCAUGCCGUCCGGGGACGACAAGUCGCCGGCGAGGCAGGCGGCUGGGGGCGAGUAGAGAUCGGAAGCGCACAGCAGAACAGAGGGGAAUCGGGGCCUGGGACGACCCAAAAUCCCAGGGUGGGCCGGCCCACCGUGGGCACCCUGUAGAGAUACACACCCGAGCGGCGAACAUGCAUUUUUGAAACUAAUUUAGGAACAUUUAGCUGACCAAUUAAACAACUCUGUCUUAAUAAUAUCAUAUUCGUAUUUGAACAACUAAGCUUGUUUAGCUUGAUGGGUGGAGCAGUGUUAUUAUGACACGAAGCACGUAUUCUGAUCGUAUAGUGAUCAUAAAAGGGGGAAACUCUAAGCAUAUUUUUUCAGCAAAAGAGGGUUUCCCCUCCGAUUUCUAUUAAAGAAACCACCACGUAACCAACAUGAUCAAUUAAACCCUAAGCAUGAUCAAUUAAACCGUAUUAUGGCUGUGCCAUGGCAGAUUUGAAGCUGCAAACCGGAGAAAUGAUAUUUAGCAUCCAUUGUUUGCUUCGAACUAAGAAAUAAAUUCUAAGAGCUGAAAAGAAAGUAGAGUAACCAAGUUAAGAUCUAUUUUCUGGUUGAGAUCAAAAAGUUGAGGAGAUAUGAAGUACCACCUCUCUUGCGGCGCCUGUAGGCAUCGGGGGUGCGAUGGCUGUCGAUGGCGUUGAAGCAGAUCUGCGAUGGUAGACGGGUGCAUCGGGGGAUAAGUCACGUUGCGGUGGAAGAGAAGGUCGUGUGAGCGGCCCCGACAAAGAGGACGACGGCGCCGAUGAAGCGAGAGGACGCGAUGCAAGGCUAUUGGUCCGUCACCAUGGAUGAGAAACGUCCAUCUCUAGCAGUGGACGACGCGGUCUUGGUAGGCGCUCCGGCAUGGUGGAGGACGGUGGCGAUGGAUGUGGUGGAGGACGGCGGCGAUGGAUGGGGUGGCGGACGGAGGCUGAUGUGGGGAUGGGGUGUUCUAGCGCGGACGGUGUAUGAAUGGGAAAAUGGAGGGAGAGGUACGGGGAACCAUGUUUUUGGGACGCGCCUGUCUGAAAUAUGGGAAAGUUACGAACUUAGCCCCCGUUUAAACUUUGGACGUCUCGUCGGUUGGGGAUAGGACGGUAAUCUCGCAUCUCGCCAAUAUUUGCCCAGAGCGAUUUCGGACGAGGAGAGGGUGGUUGGCGCCCACGGUGUAUGAACGGGGCUGACAGGUAGGGCGGUUGUGUCACGUCUGAGUGAAGUUACAAACCUGCCCCUAUUGAAAAUAUUUGCCUACAUCGAUUUCGGCCGAGUCGAGUUUGUUUUGCCGCCCACCGUGUAUGAAUGGGGAAUGGAGGGAGAAACAGAGGUCUUUCGGACGAGCUUGAAUCAAAUGAGUUUUGCCGCCCAUGUUUGACGCCCACCGUGUCGGAAUGGGCUCAGAGGCGGUCGUGUCACGUCUAAUUGAAGUUACUAACCUACCCCUAUUUAGAGCAGUGGAAAUCGGGCCGAUGGAUUGUCCGUGUAAUGGGUAGACAGUAAUUUCCAUCUCCCAAACACUUGGCUUCGGGCAGCCGACGUGGGAGUGGACAUUUUGCUGCUUCUUUUGAAUUUUGGGACAAUAAGCAUCCACGUUUACCCUGGCAACUAAAUUCGAAUCCAUUUUGUAUUCCUAUAUGAAUCUUUAUAAAUCAUUCUAUGUGUUUUUAUAUAUCUUCAAAAGGACGACAAAGAUGUAUUCCACUGUCAUAUAUGAAUAUGGUUUACAAAUGCAGAUACUCGAAUUCAGAAACUAGAAUCCAGUUUAAGGUGAAUUCGAAUAUUUGGAACACUUCAUGUCCAACUCAAAUGUCACACGCAGCAUAAUGUGUACUCCCAUUUAGAUAUGUACACAAGCGAUGUAUCAAGAUUCAAAUACCGAGUCAAUCAACCAAGAAUGUACAGAACUAACAGACAUAUAAACACUUAUAGAGUAUAUGGAUCAAUAAUAUCAACUAACAUACAUAAGCCAGGCCGUUGUACUUUUUUUGCUACAACAGCAUCCUUUUUUAGCCAGCAUCUUGGCCCUUUCCGAUGCAGUUGACGGUUGACCUUGAUGAGCAGCGACCGAGGGAAUUGAACCGUGCUCGGCACAGUAGGUAACGUUGUCUAGUUACUAAAGCAUCCCUCCGUUGUUCAUCGGUAGUCAUUAUGGACCGGGGACAUGAGGGGAAUUUCCUAGGGCUGGAAUUCUGGCCACCAGAUAUUUCGACUUGAAACGCUGAGGCUCGACUGGUUGGGGUUGCCUAAUGUGCGUACCACGCACGCCACCGAAGGACACGAGCCCGGUUUUUUUUUAGGAUCAACACGAGCCAAGGUCUGGCUGGUACGCCGUUGGGUCCUACCAUUCGAGAAUAUGAAAGGAACCUUUUAAAUUGCCGAACGAAUCUAUGUGUAUUACAAUACCCGUAUUUUCCUUGCAAAUACUAAUCUCAACGUGGUAAUUGAUUUAUGACGAGUUGUUGAAUUAGAGUGAGUUUGUGAUAUAGUGAUCUCAACGUGGAUUUCACAUUUCAUGGUCCCUAGUAAGUUUUCCAAUGCAAAUUCAAAUUUAAAAGAUGAACAAUAUGGAGGUGAGAAAACUUUGUAUGUAUCAAGCAUAUGACCACACACACACACAGAGACACACACGCACGAACACAACAACAAUCCAAUAAGUAUAGUGCAUCUAUUUUUCCAAACCAUGCAUGUAUGACACAAAUUCAAAAGUACUCCUUCUAUUCCUAAAUAUUAGUCUUUUAGAGAGUUCAACAAGUGACUACAUACGGAGCAAAAUGAGUGAAUCUAGACUCUAAAAUAUGUCUAUAUACAUCCGUAUGUGCCAGUCCAUUUGAAGCCUCUAAAAAGACUAAUAGUUAGGAACGAAGGGAGUAAAAUGUAAGACAUCCAUGGUCCUCAGUUCAAUAUUUAAAAUGAACAUGAAACUGAAACAUGAAUAUUAAGUCUAGUACUACAGUAAAUGCAAAUGUUGUGUUUAGGCGGAUCUAUGAUUGUCGGGGGUCAACCCCUCGACCUUAGAUAAAAUUCUGGAGCUCUGUUUAGGGUUGUUUAGAUUAUAUUUGUCCCCACCCUCCCAACCACCGAUUGGUUGUGCACCCCCACCCCUCCUCCCCGGGAGAAUAUCAUGUGCCCCCAUACCUUAGAUGCUAUAUGCCGAUACGAGUUGCUUGGAGCUUGUAGAUCUGAGAUAUAGCAGCUCACAUGAUGUGUCUUAAUGUUUCUUUGAGAAUUGCACACAAUUUGUACAAAAACUACUUAGAUGCCCUUUGAUCCCAUAUCCAACGACCUCGAAGCUCGUAUCACCGUAGCAUCUAAGAUGAAGGAGAACAUCAUAUUCUCCUGUAUGUAAGAAUAUCAUGUGCUACCACACCUUAGAUGCUUUGGGGAUACAAGCUCUUCGGAGGCGUUGGAUUUGUGACCCAACACCUCCUCGGUGGUUCAAAUGGUUUUUUGCAAAAAAGCCCCAAAAGAGUUCGGCCACUGCUUACAAGCACAAAGACUGCUCAGAUGCCAUUGGAUCUCAAAUCAAAUGACCUCCAAGCUCGUAUCACCGUAGCAUCCAAGCUGCGAUAGCACCUUAUGUUUUCUCGCACGGGAGAGUAUGAGGUGCUCCCGCACCGUAGAUUCUAUGGUGAUACGAGUUCACUGAGAUCUAACGGCCCACAGUAGGAGGUUUGAAUGUUUUUGCAAUAUACGGCUGAUAGAGUUUGGGAAAUGCGUAGAAAGUACAAGUACUACGCAUGUGCCAUGUGAUCACUGAUCAUACGACCUAGAUGCUCAUAUCACCGUAGUGGGUAAUUAAGCUACGGGGAGCACCUAAUAUGAGCACCGGGGAGCCGUUGGAUCGAAGAUGCAGCGGCACACACGAGGCCUGAAUGUUUUAUUUGCAAAAAAAACCUUUGGAGAGUUUGGAAAUUGCGCAUAAUUACAAAGACUACUCCCAAGCCAUUGGAUCUCACUUCCAACGGUGUAAAAACUCGUAUCACCAUAGUAUCUAAGCUGCGGGGUGGAUGUGAUAUUCUAUGCCGCUGUCAUUUUUUUCGUAAACUUGCAAAAUACGUGUAACUCGUGCCGUUACUUGUCUAACCGCGCAAAGUGUUUGUUUAAAAAAACCAUCCUACACUGAAAUAUCGGAACAACACAGGGGGUCCCACUUGUCAUUAAUCAAAUUUGGACCUAAAACUAACAAAUCUGAAAGACGAGAUUCGAACUGGCAACAUGGACUACAAAGCGUAAGUCGAUAGCCUGAAAAAACGAACGGUUGUUGGCUUUGUCCCAUAACUUGAUUUUAUACAGUACUUGCGUUGAGUAGAGUAGAGGGAGUGCCUCGUCAACACGUGCAUGACCGUUGUCUCACUUACUGGUGGGUCCCAGGUCUGCGAUCUCAAUCUCUCUUCUCUCCAUCGUCUAACCUUUGCACGGGCACACACGAAGAGCGGCGCUAGCUUGCCGUGGUGUUAUUACAACUAAAAAAAGCUUGGAAAAUAGAAGAAUCGCCUAGAACAAGAGACGUCGUGGCUGGUCGAGACGGAGCUAACCACAUCUAUCCUCCGUGCCACGUUUGCAUGAUGAAGCUGUGUGGCUAGUGGGGUGUUUUCGACCGACUGGCUGGGUCCCGAGGUCGAACCAUAGGUACUACGUCUGAUACAGUAUAUUUUUACACGCACAUUUUUCCUCCGUGCCGAGACGUGGCACACCCUACCGCGCGGUUUCGGGGUCCUCCCGGGUGGUGCACGCAUAUAUUCUUCCUGACGUGGGAUGCCCUACCGCGCGUUUUCUGGGUCCUCCUCGGUCGUAGCGUCGAAGCAAGUAAAUGAGUCGUCAAAUCACGAAAGACCACCUUUCCCGCCGAGUACAUCAGUGAAGCACGGUAACUAGCUAGUUGGGCUAGUUCGACCGAUUAGCUAGGCCGCCGCCACAUUUGUUUUUUCACCCUUUUUUUAUCUACUUGCCGGCAGGUAAAUUUAAAUAUCCACCGCGGCGUUGCUCUGGUGUUUGGGUGCGGCAGGAUUUUUAAUUUUUUGAUUGAUGGGAGCAGGCGCGGCAGGAUUUUUAAUUUUUUGAUUGACGGGAGCAGGCGCGGCAUCAAUUAGUCACGAUGACUCCGCCUAUAAAAACCCACUGCUCCCUGAUGUGAGAAGUCGUCGACUGGUGUUUUACCGUGGUGAAAACCAAAAGAUUCCCCGCUCCCUCCGCCUUCCCGUAGAUUGCAUUGCCUUUCAGCCGUUUCGCCCCCUUUGCUUCCUCUCCCCAUUGCUUCUACCUGGUGCCAUGGCAGCGCAGCAGAUCACGGAGUCCGAGGUGAGGCGCCUGACACAGGAGCUCCAUGCCAAGGAUGCAGAGCUCAGGGCCAAGGACGUGGAGCUCCGUGAGCUCAAGGAGGAGAGGAGUGCCAUGCUCCUCGUUAUGUGCGGGAGUUCACGGAGCUUCCAAAAGCGGCUGGCGUCCACCACAAAGAUGCUCGAGGCGUCGGCGGCGUUGCUGCAGAAAGCGGGAGAUACGAUAGGCCGUCAGGGGAGCCGGUUGGAGCGCGAGCGGGUCGAUCGUGACAAGGUCCAGGAUCGCCUCAGCCACUUGGUGAACCAAGUUGCCACGCACGUGUUGCGGCUGCACGAUGCCUACCGUCGUGCCAGCGCGACGAUGCCGGCCGUCGGGCUAAACCCGUUCGACCACCCGGUCGACUUCAACGAGCUGCGGUUUCCUGACCUGGUCUCCUUCUUCACCUAUAUCUCCGAGGAGCCGAGCCGUCUCCGCACGAUGGUGGGGGCUGAGCUGGACAAGGAGGGGUUGCGGGCUGCCGUCGCCGUUGCCGGGCGAAUCCUUUCAGGGCUCCGUCACCGGAAUCCAUUCGUGCCAUUGGACGCCGUCUUUGACGAGCUGGCUCCCGUCGACCGGGAGCGGGCUCUGCGGGUGGUUGCACCCUGCAUCACCAAUGUCGUGCGCCUUGAGAAGCAGAGGGACUUCGGUGGUGUUUAGGCGCCCUCUGCAUGGGCAUGUCCAUGUCUCGGCGGAACAUGACUAUUGGAUCAAACUCAGACGGUGCAGAUCAGUCACUGUAGCACAAAGCGUGUGGGUGUGUUUGGUUGCAUUCUCAUCUCAAUAUAGUUGUUUCCUCUUCAUGUAUUUUUGUCAACCUACUAGUGUGGACUCAUGCACCCUUCAUGCACUCUGCCAAACACCCAAAAGUGUGUAGAGAAGGGAACUUUUGCUCCCAUCCCGUGCACCCUUCGUACACCCAGCCUAACACUAUUCGUGCUUCAUAUGGUUCAUGUUUCGUGGAGUACUGUAGCACCGUACUCUCCGUGCGCUGUGGACCUAGUUCUGUUAACAUUGAUCUCACCGUUCAUUCUCGAUCGGACAGUUGAAAAAGCGGUACUAUGUUACAUAUAGGAGUAGUUGACAUGCGCACAACAUCAUUUGUUAUCCUCAUAUCUUCCUACACUAGCAACAAGAUUGUGUAGUACUGACAUAUGAACCACUGCACAUGCCUAGUAGUAGGAGCACUGUAUAUGUUCAAGUGGCUGCCGUGUUUCGCACUCCUCCGUCGUAAGAGUGGAAACGCUUGCUGUAAUUAUUUUUUUCUUUAGAAAAACAGUGGACACGCUCUACCAUGCGGAUCCUCCUCCAGCCAUGCACUAAAUUACUCACUUCCGCCGACGUGUGGGACAGCCAGCACCUGGAUCCACCAGCCAUGCACUAAAUUACUCCGUAGUAGAGUGACGGUAGACUACCCCGAUCGAACCGCCGCAGUAAUGCCCAAUGAGCCGUCAAAUCACAAAACCCCUUCCUUUCCAGCAGUAAGUUGGACGAACGAAGCAACCAUCAUUUCACUCUUCUCUCUCAGCUUCCUCUCUUGAAGAAAACCCCCACUCACUUCGCUUCUCCCUCAUCUCGUUCCUCCUUUCACUCUUCUCUCUCAGCUUCCUCUCUUGGAUGGACGCCGGAGCACCGGCCCACAUGAUGUCUAUGGCUCUGGCCAAAACCGUCGAGGCUCAUGGUACGAUGAAGCGCAAGCACCCCGCCGAGACUACCGCAGACAAGCUCAAAACCCUCUCCCUGUCCAAGCCCCCCUCUCCGGGAUCCCUCAUUAAGCAACUCCAGGUAAUGUCUCUUGUUGACGAUCUUUUUCUCGAUCUUGAUCGUGUUUUUUCAUCUAACACGCAGUACUAGUACUGGUAGUACAACUUUCUGGGUGAUCUUGCAUGUGAUUUUAGUGUGCCAAAUGACGGUUCUAAAUUCCUCUUUUGACCAAAACAUGCGAGAGGUUGACACUGAUUUCUUAUAGAUUACUUUCAACUACUCCCUCUGUCCCAAAUUUCUUGUCUUAGAUUUGUCUAGAUACGGAUGUAUCUAAUACUAAAAUGUGACUUCAUACAUCCGUAUCUAGACAAAUCUAAGACAAGAAUUUUGGGACGGAGGGAGUACUUUAUGAACAUCAAUGCUACCUUUUAAGAGGGUAUAUUUGCCUCAGUAACUUGUGUUAUGGAUAUUGCAUGUAAUCCCUCUGCUCUCAUGCCUUUGAAGACAUGUUCUAGUGUAUUUGUUCACUCAUUUCUGUGCGUAUAUGUAGUCAUAUAUGGAGUAUAAUAUCGAAAAUCAUCUUAUAUUUCUAAACGGAGGUAGUAAUAAAAUAUGAUUUCUGUUUGAAUUAGAACCAGGUCCGCAGUGGAGAUGAAGUUCUCAAAGUCAUGCCGUGUGAACUGGAAGACCUGAUGAUGAGUUCUACUGCUGAACUAUCCAGCUGCUGUGUCCUUGUCGCCACGUGUCCUGAACUAGUGUUUUCCUGUAGCAUUGCUGUCAGGCGUGUUCUCGAGGCUGUACUUGACCACAACAAUUUCCUGGCUAUGCCUUCGAUUACGAAGGGUGUGGUUCUUGUAAAGCUUCCCAACAAAUCUGAUGCAGCCUGUCUUCAUCAUCAUGUUUAUGAGUGGAAAGACCACUCUGUUAGGUUCUCCAAGGUUGACAAGAUGGUGAUGGUGCAUGUAGACAUCUCACACGAAGUCCAUGGCCUAGUCAGUUAUGCGGGGUUCAUCCCGUAGGUCGGUGGCAAGAAAUAGUCUGCAGAGUUUAGUUAGUGCAACUUUGCUUGUCUGUAGUAAGUACUAUUGUUCAGUACUUGAUUUGUGUGUGUGAAACCUGUAUUGUUUAUUAGUACUGCCGAUUUUGGUGUGUGAACGGUCUAUGUUAAUGUCUGUCCACUCAAUUCAGUCUAUACUAUCAAGAUGCCCGUGCAUUGCACAGAACACCAAGAUGCAUUUAUUUUUUACAAAACACAUGUUGUGAUUGACCCAUGAGAGAGUAAUCUCAUGUGUAAAAACUAAUGAUAUCUUGAGAAAGAGGAGAGAUAAGGUGAGGAGGAGUGGGGCAUGGUGGUGAUUGGUGGUCAGACUGAGCGGAGGCAUCGGGAUGGACGACGCUGGCAGCGGCCAUCAUGCCAGAUUGUUCGAGAGGCUUUUUUUUAAUUGCUCAACAAUGAGGUUGUGGGAGAUAAGGAUGAACGAGGAAAGACCUUAUUUGCAAAUGUGAAGAGAGGUGCAAGUAUCUUUUUGCAAAAUUAUCAUAGUUUGUUUUCUAUCCGUCAGAUAUAGAUCAGACGGUCUAUAUUGCAAGAUGGCAGGCACACCAUCAUCACCAACUCGGGUUUUUAUAAGAUUUUGAAGUAUCCAGAUCAUACUUUUUGUGAUGACGGUUUAUCAAUUAUGGUUACACUCCAAUAUCUGUAUGCAUUGCAGGGUUUAUCGCACCCACCAGGAUUUCCAGUCCCAUGGAUGUUCGGUCCAUACGAUUUGUCACGACCUUUGGACUGUCCUGCUUGUGGGAGUAGGCGGGGCCCCUGCAUGCCACGCGUAGUUGGACGAUCAAUCUUCUGUUUAGUACUUCAACAUAGUGAUUUCCUGGUAAGGAUUCACUUGCGUCACAUCAAGUAAAUCUUAUUGAUUUACUGUCUAAAUCUUAUAGAUUUAAUGUCAUAUUUUCUUUCUUUUCCUGCAAUUUUACGAUGCAGGUUUUGCCAUGUGACAUUCAUCAUAGAAUAAACCGUUUGGUUUGCUCUACGAUGGCUAUUUUUGCAGGUUUCACUUCUUAUGUCGUGUCAGUAAUGAAGGCACUGUCCAUCACUUAUAUUACUGGAAAAAACUGGAUCAGUCUGUUGUCUGAGUACAAGCUGAAUCCCUAUGAUGAACUGCAGUUUGGUUUAACAAAAACACCACAAUUAGUCUUUCUCGCGUUUAAAAGAAAUGAAGAAAAAAACUGGAUCACGGUCACGGAUCCUAGUCAAGUUAGAAAGCUGAUCAUAGCAGACCAGACACGAUCGCCACUGUCUCGCACAGAUCGAGCACCGGCAGUUGCUCUAGCACGGACAGCGGCAGCAGCUCAGCCUGAUCCAGCUGAGGAUUGGGCACCGACCGCGUCAGCGGAUCAGUCUGAUCUACCGGAGGAUCGGGCAUCGACACCGGCACCAGCUCUAUAAGCAGCACCAUCUCCGGCAGCAGCGGCGGCUCCGGCACCUGCACCAACACUUGCACUUGCAUCUGCUCCGGCCCGUGCAGUUGCACCGGCAACAGACUGAGCUGCAGUUCGCACUUCAUAUACCAAAGUCCUUACAAAAACCAACAUGUCCACCUUCUUGGUAAGCAUUGGCCGCCCAAGUGCUUCGUUCUUUUUUCUUUCCAUGUUGUUUCACAUGAUUCACUGUGUUGAUCUAACUGUUUGGGUAUGUCUUCUUGUUUGCAAACAGAGAAUUCCUAGAGCAACGAGGGACUCGUUCAACAAUCUGGGCGACCGCGGCCAAGUUUCUCUUACCAUGCGCAGCCUUGGUGUGAAUGAACCUGCUCAAUAUACCGUAAUUACAAAGGAUGGUCGCAUGAUGAUUGAUGCUAAAGGAUGGUCAAGGUUCAAAUCUAAAUCAUAUCUUGCGGUAGGGGAUGAUGUCAAAAUCAAACUUUCUCGGCAAGGAGAGCUAGUCCAAAUCAACUUUGAAAUUCUUCAGUAGCAGCAUGCAACUGCCGAACUGAUCUAUCCUCCAAGAGAUUUUGAUGUAAUAAUCUGGCAUGGUGAAACAAUUGUCUUGUGUGUAUAAGUAGUACGACAGUAUUAUUUAUCACAUGGUAUAUCGUUGAUAGAAUUGCAACUCUGAUUGCUGGUUAGGAACUGUCGUUCGAUUUCAUUCCAACAGCUGUCGUGCUUUAUUCAAUUUUCUGUAUUCGCCUUGCGACAGCAUCUAAACCCAGCGCCGUACCGAUCGCUUGCAAUAUGAAAAGCGCUGAGGUAGAACACAUGGGCCCCCAAACAUGCAGGGUCGGCCUGCGGCCCAAAGUCCAGAACCGUGAGCCUAUCUGAGUAUUAUAUUCUCAGCUGAACCCCCAUAAAAAAAGCUGAACCCCCAUAAUGCCCGUGCGUUGCAGAGGGAGUAUAUUUCUCGGCAAGGUGAGCCUGUGAUAUAAAAGAUUUGUAUAUUUCUUUACAGAGGGAGUAUCUCUCUGUCAAAAUAUAUAUUUAUGUGUAACUAGUUACUCAUGUCUUUCUACUUCCUUUCGCUGAUAUGUGGGGCAAUCGGCAACGGGGUCCACGUGCCAUAUGCACAAAUUAGAGUGCACAACUUCACGGUAGAAACACCCCGGUCGUAGCGCCGCAGUAAUGCCCAAUGAGCCAUCAAAUCACAACCCCCCUUUCCAACUUUAGCAGUAAGCUAGACGGACGAAGCGGCAAUAUUUCACUGGGCCUGAAUCCCCUUCUCCCUCGUCUGCUUGUUCAGAGAAAACCCCCUCUCGGCGAUUGCAUAGGGUUUUCUCAUGGAGAACCAGGUACGAAUUCUUCAUCCAUCCCCGAUAAAUCCAAGUCCCUUGGUCGCAGGUAAUCCUAGGAUGGCAGCCGCCGCCGUUGAUGCAUUUUUCUUCUUACUGAAUCUAGUGUGUUUCAUUUGCAGUGCCCAAAGUGCGAGUACCCUACAGGUUUCUGCGCCCUCGGCGAGACGCCACACUUGUUCCUUCUCAUCCUAACACAGCAUUUUGAAACGCGCACGUUAUGUUCCUAGAAUCCUCUUUUCUAUCCGGGAGGGUGGGGUUUUUUUGAACAUGAUGUGUUCUCAUAUUAUUUUUCCUGUAGUGUAUUAUUUGCUCUGCCAGAACACAUGUACUCAAGAUGCUCGGCCUUGCCAUAACUGAAUACACUAGUUUAAUGGUCACAGUGAAGACAAGCCAUGGAUAUAAGUUCCGAGUUGGGUUCAUGAACCAAGAAGAUCGCUGCUUUUUUUAUGGCCGAACUUGGAUAAACUUUCUCAAGUUUUACGGACUGAAAGUUGGCGCACGAAUGUUGAUGGAAAUAGCAGAACCUGGUCUCAUCUUCACUGCGAUCUUCCACCCCGACGUCGUUCCAAUUGUUCAUCCAUGUUAGUUUUGUAUCUGGUUCUUGCUUGUUGCCUCGAUUACUUCUUAAUCCACCUAUUCUGUCUAACUAAUCACAAUUUAACUUUAGAAGUAGAAACGAAUCUCUCACGAAGAUGCUACUUCUAACUAAUAUUUUCUUAUAAUUGGUGGCACGUGUAGGUUUUUUCAGAGUUAAGCAGUCUGCUCGUUUGUUACUCUGUAAUAACUCGGCUGUUACUAAUGGCACUGAAGUUGACUGGAUCGACAUCCACAAGUUCCUACACUUUAUUGAUCGUCUUGAGGUCCUUGUGGGGCGUUUCAAUGGUGGAAGGCCACGUGGGAUAUGUGUGCCACUGCUGCACUCGUUGAACAGGUCCAACUGUGUCGAGAAACUUAUGGUACGAGUUGUUUUCUGUUAUAUAUGUUGUUCAUAAACUAUUUCUUAUACACAGUUUUACAGUUGUGAUCUUCUUGAAACAGGAACUGCCGAGUUCUAUUGUUCCUAUACAGAUGCCUGACCAUGGUCGGGUCAGACUUGCGCUUGGUCACAACAUGAUGUUUAUGUCGACCUACUCAAUUCCCCUUGGAGGUGAAAAGAUACUUAUUCAUGGGUGGUCUCAAAUAAUGAAGGCCCGUCCAUCUUGGAGAAUAGGACAGAAGAUUAUGUUCAUGCUUUUCCAUGGCUCUAAAGCGAAUAUCCUGUUUAUUGACCACGUUGCUUUCAGCUUUGGUUGUUAAGUGCCCCUGCUGGUUUCAGUUAAGGUUGUUAAGUACUCCUGCUGCUUUUACAGUCUAUUGUGUUUCUUCAGUCCUGUCUUCCUCCAGCCGCCAAAACCAAACCAGCGCCGGCGGGGCCGCCUGCUUCCGCCUCCCACGGCUGGCUGCGCCUCAGCGCACGCAUCGCCGCCCCACCGUCUCCUAAAUCGUUAACGCCGAUGUCCUCCGCGCGCUUUGGUGCGCUCGCUGUGGCGCCGCCCUCUCGCGUUGUCAACAUGGUCAACAAGCAACAGGAAUCGGCAGAAGUACGUGGAGAGGAUGACAGUAGGGGCCCACCACAUCAGCGUAUGGAAAAAUAAAAUGCUUCCUCCUAGUGUUUUCCUGACAUCUGGGACCCACGACAUUGUGAGCGUAUAUAGUCAAUAGACAAGAGAACAGCAUAAGAUCGGCUGACACCUGGGACGUAGCUACUCGAGCAGUAAUUUUUUUGUUUGGUAUUGUUGAGACGGAGCAGGGUUUGAACUGGGCUGUGGCCCGUCUAGCCCGGGCUUAUAUUUUAUGUUCACCAUGUGACCAGCCCAGCUAUUUUUUCUUUGUGAAAAUGAGCCCAGUUUAUUUUUUCUGAAGAAUACCCAAUCCAGGCCUACUUAUUUUUCUACGCCCUGAUGGGCUGCAACUCUUUCAAGACGCCUGCAAAUCUUGAAAGUAAUAUGAAAUGGGUUGUAAAUAUAAAAAACAGAUGACAAAUUGGCAAUUACUUUAUAACUUCUGAAUUUUUUCACAUUUUCAGAUUCCUGUUUCACUGGGCAUUAACCUAAUUUAAAUAUAUCUUCAAAGUACUUUAAAUCUGGCUCGGCAUUUCGGUAUUAAAAAUAGUUUGGAACCCAUAGAAAUAUGUGAAAUUGGCCCUGGCCAACCAAAAAAACGACUCCAAUAAAUUGCAUAAGAAGUUGCCAUGAGCUAUAUAUAAAUUAUUAAAAAAAGAGGGAGUGGUCUGACUUGUGGGCCUGUUUAGUUGACGCGUAUGCAAGAUUUUUUUAGUUAUUAUAUACGUCAACAAACGAUUCUAGCAGACGUAACCGUUGGAUGUCAAUCCAACGGCCGUCGUGUUUCUUCAAUCUCUGAUCUUCUUGCUCCAGCCGCCAAAGUAGCGCCGGCGGGACCGCCUACUCCCGCCUCCCGUGGCCGGCUGUGAUGCCGCGCAGGCCUCAGCGCCCCCUACUACUCCCACCGCUGGCCAGGGCAUCCCUCUACUCACCCACACCCCAUGUUAUUCUGCGGCGACGACAGCCUCACACCGCAGCUGAACCGGUGAACCCUCGUACUCCUCUUCGCGCGGGCUUCCACUGCCGCGUCUUCCCCGGCUCCGCGUCGUCCCCUUCCUAGGCCUCGCCGUGGUGCUCUCGGCGCGGCGUGGUCAAUGUGGUCAACGACCGACUUCCAUCGGAAGAGUACUGUACGUGGAGAGGCUGACAGCUGGGUCCACGGCAGCCGCAAGGAAGUGCCUCCUUAUUACGCGGAAAAUAAUUAUUCCUCCACCUGUCAGCAGGGACCCACCGGACGGGCCACCAGUAUUUCGCGAAAAAAAACGUUUCCCCCUGACUGCUGGGACCCACAGGACGGGCCACCGUAUUUCACGAAAAAAACGUUCCCCCCGCUGUCAGCUCGGACCCACCGGAAGUGCCUCCUUAUUACGCACAAAAAAAUGAAUACCCCCUGCUAGCUGGGACCCACCUUGGUGGGAGGCUGACUUGUGGGCCUACUAAGUUGACUGGGACGGAGGCCUUUGUCAACUUUAGUCAAUGUAUGAACGAUUCUAGCUCCAGUGACCGUACGAUGUCCAUCCAACGGCCGUAGUGCUUCUUCAACCUCUGGUCUUCUUGCUCCAGCCGCCGAAAGCAGCGCCGGUCGUGCCGCCUGCUCCUGCCGCCCGUGGCCGGCUGUGAUGCCGCGGAGGCCUCACCGCCCCCUACUACUCCCACCGCUGGCCAGGCCAUCCCUCUACGCACCCACACCCCCUGAUAUUCUGCGGCGACGGCAGCCUCACACCGCAGCCGAACGAGUGAACCCUCAUACUCCUCUACGCGUGGGCAUCCACUGCCGCGUCUUCCCCGGCUCCGCAUCGUCCCCUGGUGCUCUCGGCGCGGCGUGGUCAACAUGGUCAAGGAAUGGCUUCCAUCGGACGUGGACUGUACGUGGAGAGGCUGACAGCUGGGUCCACGGCCGCUGCAAGGAAGUGUCUCCUUAUUACGCGCAAAAUAAUUAUUCCUCCACCUGACAGCGGGGACCCACCGGACGGGCCACCGUAUUUCACGAAAAAAACGUUUCCCCCUGACUCCUGGGACCCACCAGCUACAUCUUCGCACGCAAGGAAGUGCGUCCAAAAAAACGAUUCGCCCCCCUGACUGCUGGGACCCACCAGCUACAUCUUCGCACGCAAGGAAGUGCGUCCAGGCAAAAAAAAUGAUUCCCCCCUGACUGCCAGGACCCAGCAGCUACACCUUCGCACGCAAGGAAGUGCGUCCGGGCAAAACAAAACGAUUCGCCCCCCUGACUGCUGGGACCCACCAGCUACAUCUUCGCAGGCAAGGAAGUGCCUGACAGUCGGGACCCACAUGGUCGAAGCGUACAUAGCGUUGUCAUUCUGGUCGCGAACGUGUACGUACAUAUAUACUGGUUGAUGUAGAGGCGCGCACGUGUCGUAGUAGAGGCGCGUACGUGUCGUAGUAGAGGCGCGCACGUAGCAUGUACACGUACGUACAGCGGCCAGGGUGCAAGAAAGAAAAUACGGCCACGUACGUACAUACGGGCAGGGUCUCGAACGCCUACUCGCGCAUACGUACGGCCAGGGCUCGUGUACAUGGCUGGGUCGGAACGGAGAAACAACGUCGUCGUCGUGUUCAUGGGGAGGCAACGGAAUGCGUCGUGUUCAUGGGGAGGCAACGGAAUGCGUCGUGUUCAUCGGGAGGCAACGGAACGCGUGGGAGCCAACCGGCUGGGUCGGAACGGAAUGCGUGGUCGUGUUCAUCGGGAGGGCUUGGAUGGAACAGGCGAUGGAAACGAGGCCUGGCGUACCGCAAAACGGAGGAAACGGCCUUGUGUUCGACUGGCCACGUUCGAAACAGGAUCCUGUUCAUCGGGAGGGGUCUGACGUACCGCAAAACGGAGGAAACGGACCUCCUACGGUCGAAACGGGGGUCCUGUUGAUCGAGAGGGGUGUGGCGUACCGCAAAACGGAGGAAACGGACUUGUGUUGGAGCGCUACGGUCGAAACGGGGGUCCUGUUGAUCGGGAGGGGUGUGGCGUACCGCAAAACGGGACUCCACGGGAUACUGUUCAUCUCCACCGUCGACCUCCUCCAGCCUCCACGGGCUACCGUCAACCGCCUCCAGCCUCCACGGGCUCCUGUUCAUCCAGCCUCCACCGCGCGCUACUCCACCGGCUACGGUUCAACCAUCCCUCCACGGGCACCCCUCCACCGUCUAUUGUUCAUCCAGCCCUCCACACCACGGGGUCCUGUCCAACCACCCAUCCACGGGCACCCCUCCAUCGUCUACUGUUCAUCCAGCCUUCCACACCACGGGGUCCUGUUCAACCACCCCUCCACCGUCUACUAUUCAUCCAGUCCUUCACACCACGGGGUCCUGUUCAUCCAGAGGCAACGCCACCGCUUACUGUUCAUCCNNNNNNNNNNNNNNNNNNNNNNNNNNNNNNNNNNNNNNNNNNNNNNNNNNNNNNNNNNNNNNNNNNNNNNNNNNNNNNNNNNNNNNNNNNNNNNNNNNNNNNNNNNNNNNNNNNNNNNNNNNNNNNNNNNNNNNNNNNNNNNNNNNNNNNNNNNNNNNNNNNNNNNNNNNNNNNNNNNNNNNNNNNNNNNNNNNNNNNNNNNNNNNNNNNNNNNNNNNNNNNNNNNNNNNNNNNNNNNNNNNNNNNNNNNNNNNNNNNNNNNNNNNNNNNNNNNNNNNNNNNNNNNNNNNNNNNNNNCAACGCUCACUGUUCAUCCAAUCGAUCGACUUCAGUUAGCAGCAGUAGCGAAGGAAUCGCUCGAUCGGGUUCAGUUAACAGUCAUCGAUCGAUCGCUCGGGUUCAGUAAUGCGUAGCCUGCAGUGCAAUCGCUCGGGUUCAGUUAGAGCCCAACGCCUCGCUCGGGUUCAGUUAGAGCCAACGCCUCGCACACACGCGCGUACGUGUACGAGAGAAACGCGCAUCGCUCGGCCCCCGACCUCCCACCGUAACCGGGAACUCCCCGAAAUUGUCCUCCCCCUCGCUUCUACCACGCUUUUUUCCGUCAUGGACGGCCCAAAGAAUGUCAUGCAGCUGCGUCUCCGGCCCGCCCAGGACGAAAAGCCCAUUUUCUGUCAUGAUUUUUUGUCAUGGAAGUAGGAGCCCACCACAUCUAUGAUGAUACCGGGUUUUGUCACAAUUAUCGUCAUAGAAGUGUCAUAUGUAUGGCAGAAACAAAUUUCGUUCGGCCCAAAAUGUCACGGACGUGUCUUUUCUUUGUAGUGCAAGCCAGAAUGUGCUUGCUGCUGUUGACUUUGAUCUGAAGUUCACAUAUGUGUUGGCUGGCUGGGAGGGGUCAGCGCAUGAUGCUAACAUUCUCACUGACAGCAUGAGUCGACCUGAUAGGAUCAACAUCCCCGACGGCAAGUUCUACCUUGGAGAUGCUGGCUAUGCAUGUCGGCCGGGUAUUCUUCCGCCCUUCAGGAAAACAAGGUACCAUCUCAACGAGUUCUCUGGUAGGAACUAUCCUAGGACUGCAGAGGAGCUGUUUAAUCUCAGACACUCCAGCCUUAGAGUAACUGUUGAGAGGGCAUUUGGAGCUCUGAAGAAUAGGUUUAAGAUCCUGGAUCAGAAGCCAUUCCACCCAUACUCCACUCAGGUUAAGCUAGUUCUUGCUUGUUGCAUUCUGCAUAACUGGAUCCUCCAGUGGGGCUUUGAUGAACACGUGCCUGAGGAGGAAGAUGUCGAGCCUGACGAUGUUGUUAGCUCCGGCCAUGGUGUGGAGGCAUUUGACAAUGACGCUUGGAAGAACAAAAGGUUGGAGUGGGCAGAGGCGAUGUGGCUUAACAGAGGUCAGUGCAGGAUUUGAAGAAGAUGGAAGAAGAACAACAAGCAGCAGCAGCAGCAGCAGCAGAAGAAGAAGAAGAAGAAGAAGAAGAAGAAGAAGAAGAAGAAGAGAGGAAGAGAGGAAGAGGAAGAUCUGGUAGCACCUGUGAACUAUCCCCUAUUUAGCCAAUGGCUCUUAAUAAUUUGAACUGUCAUUUGAUAGUAGUUAGGAUGAACUAUCAUUUGUUUAAGUAGAUGGCGCUACAUGUUCAGAUUAUGUGUGGUAAGCUCACCACUAGUUAGAAAUGGUGACAACACCUUAUGCAGGUUGAAACCAAACACCAUGUCAUAUGUGCGCCUAAUGCAAUGCGGGCAACCAAACGCCGGGUCGAAAAUGGCUGUCUCAUGCAACUAGGGACAUGCAGGCAACCAAACUAUGUGCAUCUGGUUUUUUGGCCUGCAUCCCCUCAAACCGGCUCAAUAGAGCCAGGCUCGCCAGGCCAGGCUGAAUCGCCAAAGAAGUUCAGAACUACCUACUAGUUCAAACUAAGGCUGCCGAGUGCCAACUCUACGUACGUGCGUACCAGCAUAGCCGGCGGCCACCGCGCGCGGCACGGAGGCGGAUCAGCAGAUGGCUGGUGAAGCGGUUCAAGAGCAACUACUGGGGCGACCCGGUGGCCAACCCUGAUAUCUUGCAGGGAUACGGGCCGCUCAUGUCCCGGAUGGACGCUGAGGACAACGAGAACUAACGCAUCCUCAGGGCGAGCAAGGAGUGGCGCGCGUGUGGGUGCCCUGACAACGCUGAGACAACCUAGGACUGAAUCACCGACACAAGAGCCCUGCCGGCGGAAGAAGCUACUCCCUCCGUCCCAUAAUAUAAAAAUGUUUUUAACACUACACUCUCGCCGCCGUUUGAACGAUGGCCGUCGCGUCGUUGCACGUCUGUGUGCAGCAGACUCUCUCUCUCAAUGUAGCUACAUGCAAAUUACUCUUUUCUCUUUUCCUAUAAUUUUUCUACAUUUUUCUAUUUUUAUGUAUUCUGUGAUAUUUCUUAAUGUACUAUAUAUAGUGAUCCAAUUUGAUAUUAUCCCUUGUGUUGCAUGGAGCUGCCUAAAUUUUGAUCUUUCUAGGAAUCUGAGCUAUGACGUGUGGCAAUAUAACCAUGAUCACCUUGCAUCGAUUGCAGAUUUACAGUGGUACUCUCAUUUAUAAACUUAGAGUAUGGUUAGGUUAGUCAUAGUGGAGAGUAACUUAGACUAGUAACAUGCAUAUAUUACUAGUCUAUGUUACUAUCUUCAUAGUGGUUAAUGUCAUAGGUGUGGUAACAUAUAUGCCUUCAUUUAUUAUUUUAUAAACUUAUUUUACAUUGGAAAGCGCUAUGUGAUGGUAACAUAUUAUGUUACUUUUCCAGCAAAAAAAAGCAUAUUAUGUUACUCUAUUUGCCUCUCUCCUUAUUGAUUACUUGACACAUCAUCAUUUUUGCUUAUGUGGCAUCUAUGUUAUUAUUUAUGUUACUUCAUUAUGACCAGCCUUAGUAGCAUAGCCAGCUGCUAGCUAUAUGAUCUUACUACAUCGUUUAUAGCCGAGGUUAUAACCGACAAGUACAAUAAUGGCAUCGCCAUCGGUGCCAUCUCCACUGCGCAACACCACCAUGGCAUUCUCCUUCCAUGUAUCGAUGAUGGCUUGUAGCUUGACCCUCUUUUUAUGUUUACCAUCUUUAUCUUUGAGUAGUUGUACUAGUUCUUCGGGAUAAGUUUUUUUUUUGAUAAAAAGAAAUCCCUCUCCGAAUUUUAUUAAAAGAAACCAUAUUGUCUUACAACUACUAGGAACAAAUGGGAAGUAAACAAGGCAUGAUCUGCCUGAACAUCAUCAGCUAGCCUCAUCUGUCCGCACAGACCACAAGUCGAUAACCCACACAGUUUUUAGACUCCAGACUGCAUCAUCCUGGGAGUCCACAGGCCGGUUCUCCAGAAGACGGUUAAGCAGACAAAUUCAAACAAGCAUAAAGCAUAAUACUACUCCAGAAAGAGGUAGACAGCCACACGGUCCAGUAUGUUCUUCUAGAAAGAGAUAAAUAGACCAUAGUUCUCGGAGAUAUAGAUGAACUCUUUUAGGAUUACAAUGAAACUCCUUUAAGCAAUCUAGAAUAUUUGUUUAUGUUCAAGUUAAUAGCCUUUAUGAGUGUUGUGAGGAGCGUUCACGCAACAUUAUCGCUUUGAUUGGCCAUGGAGCAUAUAACUACUGCUGUUUAGGUUAGGAUAUUGAGGUAAUUCAAGGUGACACUAAACUCCUAUCUUCCUUGCCUUUACAAUCGGUGGGGAAUUGCUGCAGCCGUCUUUGGAUUUUGCUGGAACUAGCAGUGGAGGAUGUUGGAAGCACAACGAGACUUUUUUGCUAACGGAGACAUUUUUGCUACAACCGCGAUCGUCGAAGCUGAACAAGCAAACGUGGGUGUUGAAAAUGGCGAUCCAUGAUGGUGUGGCAUUUUUUGCACGACCGACGAUGGAUUUUUGCUACAAACCGUUGGAUCCAGCACAUGUAGAUGGUGGAGGCAGGGUCACGGGGUGCUGCAAUCGGCAUCCACCGACAUCGGAGAGGACGUGUGGCCUUGCUGCUGCGAGCAACCUCGUCAGUUGCUAUGGCGAGGCGUGACCCUAUGGCUAGCCUGGGGUGGACACAUGUGUUGUGUUGGAUGUGUUGUGAGGGGCUUUUUUCCGGGAGGCUUCGAGCAGCGCUGCGAGUAGCCUCGCCGGCGAUACGAGUCUAGGGCGGAUGCAGCAGCGCGGGGAAGCGAGUGGCACCAUGAACAUCAGAUUGUUCUCGCGAUGAGCGGUGGUGUGUGUUAGAAGGAAUAGAGGGGAACACGUCGUGGACGAGGGCACGCAUCGGUGUUGCCAGCACUGGGCAUGCGUAGAUGAACGAAAUUGAUGUUGACUAGGCGCCGCACGCACUAGACUUGCCAAGCCCGGGGACACGUCGUGAACAAAGGUAUGCGUCGGUGUUGCCGGCACCGGGCAUGCGUAGACGGACCAGCAUGAGUUGUGCGGCAUGUCGUUGCAGCUAGCAAAGAAGGACUCGAUGACGGUUGUAGCGCCUGCGUGAGGUCGAUGACGCCUGCGGUGGUAGGAGUAGAUGAAGUGGUCGAGGAAGAUGACAACAACGUUGGCGAUGAGCUUGUGCUGGCCGAAGACGAAGAGGUGGAUGGCGGCGGCGCCGCCGGAAGAAGCGUGGCGACGAUGGCCUGAUGGCGGCUGCAACUAGGUUAGGAGCGCGACGGUGGUGCUUGAAGUAGGAACCCGACAGCGUGACGAAGACCAGCGCGGAUGCUAGCGUUCCCGCGCCUAGGGAGACGGCGCGGCAUAUACCACAUAGAAGUCGACGCGCCGGGACAGCGAAGUGGACCGCGUGCUGCGACACUACAGCCCAAAGGGGCGAUGCAACGGUGAUAUGUUUCUCGAUCGGUGAAGGGGCGCGCUGUACUUGGGGACGACCUUCACGGGACCUGCGAAGGUGCGUCAAACCGACUGAUCGGGUCGGUCGCACGGCGCGGAUGGAGCAGAUCGUGGGCAGGCGGGUUCCUACUUCAAGCAACUUGCCAAAAAGUUGUGUAGUCAUUUGACUGCACAGCUCAUGCAUGGCUUCGCCACUGAGGACAAGUAUAUAUGAAAUAUAAAAUUUAGAGGGCAAGACGCCUUAGAAACGACUAGCUGAGUGCCCGUAUGUUGCCACGGAAUAUCACAUUUUUCUUCUUCGACGCCCAGUAUGCUAUCCAUCUCUUAAUAUAACCCCUUCAUGUAGAAAUACAAUGUGUAUUGUCCCUUCUUUCCUCACCCUUGUAUGUGCUUGGAAUUUUCCGCAACUCCAUCUAUGAUGUGUCGCUCAUCAUUUCCUAUAUAAGAUAAGUUGUCAGGAUUGUAACUAUAAAAUGCACCUUUUCCUUCUUCAUUGCUCCAACUAUCCACCCCUCACCUCUACCACUCCCACUGUAUUGCAAAAAUGUAAUAGCAAAGAGAAGUUUCUUGUAGUAAAUUUUUAAACAUGGACUAUAUUUUUCAUUUACAGAACCGCAACUAUUGCAAAAUUAUUCUAACUACAAAUUCUACAUCAUCAUUUUCACAUCGUAUACUACAACAUGUUAAAUGAACGUUAAUCUUGAGAAGACUCGGCAGGCAACCUAUAAUUAUUUUCGACAAGCACUACUUUUUUCUGCAACUCCAUCUAUGAUGUGUCAUCGCUUCGCUCAACACUGCCUAUAUAAAAUAAGUUGUGAGGAUAGUAACUACAAAAUGCACCAUUUCCUUCUCUAUUGCUCCAACUAUCCACCCCCCCCCCACCCCCCACCCCCCAUUGCAUAAAUGUAUCUGCAGCCAUCAAUUUUCUGUAGUAAAAUUCAAAACAUAUAAUACAUUUUUCAUUUACAUAACUGCAACUAUUGCAAAAUGAUUUUAACUCAAAUCAUCAUUUUCACAUCAUGUAAUACAUGUUAAAUGAAGGUUAAUCUAGACAAGACUCGGCAGGCAGCCUACAUUUAUUUUCAACAAAUUAAAAUAAUUUCACUUUACAAAUUUGUCCAUAAUCCAUACACAUAUCCAUGAUCUUACUGUAGACAUGUUCAGAAUAGACUGUGUGUAUGCCAUCCAUGCUUGCUCUCCUGUCCCCAAAAUCAGUGUUGGAUCUCACAACACAUACAUAAUGUAGACUCAGAUGGUCAAACCAGAAUACUUCAUUUCUGAACUCGUGCAGUGCUGGCAACUACAUAUGGCGUCAGCCACUUGCAGAUUUGAACAGUGGCAGGCUGAAAGCUAUACACAUAACAAAAGAAACAUGAGGAACUUCUUGAACAAAUAAUAAGAGUGUGCAAAGGACUGAAGGUGCAAUGUUCAAAUACAUCGUUCCAGGUCAGCCAAAACCAAAGCCAGUUAAUUCAUUUUGUGGCAAACCAAGUCCAUUAAGUACUUACCGUAUGAGCAAAACUUCAUGCUUACAUGGAUUAAACUCCAAAUAAGAGAACUAUUGUACUCUAUAUGAGCAAGAUUUGAACGGAUGAAGUCAUGUGAAAUGGAUCACUUAUAUAAUAUAUGAAGCAUUAACUAGCAACAUGUCAAUUUAGUAUACCUCAAAGAAAUACACAUCCAGUAUGGGUGGAUGUAUCCGGAUGUUAUAGAUCCUAAACUUUUACAGUAUAUGUUGACUAUUAGGCAUGAACAGACAUUACAAACUCAAAGUUCAAUAACCGCAAAACGACGACCUCCAAAUCAUAUUACAUGGUCUUCUGUAGAGAAAAGCAAAAUGCUAAACCAAACUUCCGUAGAACAGCAUGAGGUCAGCCCAAAUAGUUGAUCCAUCAUCAUUUGAACCAUUAUAAGAAAACUUGUUGAAAACUGAAUAAUUCUAUGACGUUUGAUGCUAAAACAUAUGGAUUCUAUCAACAUAAGUCAGGUCUUUUGCACCAUCAUUGUCAAUGUGAUGUCCACCCAUUAAUGCCAUAAGAACACCAUAACUGUCUCUACCAUAACACCACUUACUGACAUCAUGCCACUUACGAUCAGAUGUUGUAGCCUCACUUCCACCGCCAUCCUUUGUUCUAUCUCACUCAUAGGUGGGCUUUUCCACCGUGAGUAGAACACAUAUGGUCGUGUAAAAUCUAGGACAAGAAGCUCCAGCGAUGUUCACAUCGUCGACGAAAGGUCAGUGGAAUUAGGAGUGGAGCAAAUGUUUCGGGGAAUCCUGUGCUAAUUGAAUUGUGGCUCAAAGAUCUUGUAUUGCUUAUGUUUCUCCCAUCUAUCUCUGACAAAAAUUAGGAUUAGAUGGGCACUUUCGCAAGUACCCGUCCUCUCUCUCUAUCUUUCUUUCUCUCCCUGCCAGAUCAAGAAGCAACGAAAAGCAAUCUCACCCUUCCUCUCACUCCCCUCAUGUCCCGUUCCUGUAGCCAAACAAGAACAUAUAUGAGAUGCACCUGACGGAGAGAAGAGUUGGAGCAACCCGCGGGAGGGGGGGAAUUCGUCCUACCACCUCGUGCCGGUGCAGAUGAAAGUCGCCACCUGCCGGGGCUCGUCGUUGGCGGCACACCGGCGGCCGAGGUUGCUGGGUUGCAUACGUGUGUAUGUGUCCCACUCCCGUCCCCUGCUCAAGGUGGAGGCCUAGCUUCCACGCAGCCGGCCACCUCCGCGACGCGCGAUCUGGUUCGACCCGCCGCCGAAGCCGAGGCCCGAGGGUGCCGUCGCGGAGAUGAGCCGGAUGAUUGACAUCUAGUAACCGACCCCAUCGAGACUGACGGAGCCACCAACGCAGGCGAGCGAAAGGGUUGGGUCUUGGGUCGAGGGACUCGUCGACCUCGAUGAAGCGGCUGACGUCGUCGGCUAGUAGCGUGAGGGACGGCGGCGGUGAAUUUUCUCGGGAGCGAUACACGGGGAUUGGGAGGAGCAAGGGGGUUGCUGGACGUGGGACGUGGGAGGUGUCCUUGUUCCGGGUCGUGGCUGCUUUUUUUUUCUUAUCGUGGCUUUUCUUGUUUCCUUUUAUCGUGGGAGGAGAGAGCGAUCGUGCGAAGGGGAGGGCGGGGAACCAGGUCGAACCAUCGAAGGAGGUUGAACCAUCACGACGUUCGAUCCUCCUUUAAUAGUAGAGAUUCCUAUAUAAUGUCGAACUAUCUCUGAAUACCAAAUAUAUUACUAACAGCAUUGACUAGUAUCGAGUCGAGGGAGGGGAGAAGGAAAAGCGACGACAACGUGGGACGGGCUCCAAUCGCAUGGCCGCAGGAAGCUGAAUCAUACUGCGCGACGACCGGCCGCAGGAAGCUGAAUCAUACUGCGCGACGACCGGCCGAGAGUUGGGCACUUGGGCUGGUCGACCGGCUCCUAGCAGCCGCCAAAAGGAAUACUACUAGCACGUGUUUUUUUUUCGAAAUUAAACUGGUAUAUGCAUUUCGUUGUUUCUUGUAUCGUACUUGGACACGCGCGUUCCGGCCGUGUCCCUGACCGAAACGACCUAAGCCUUACGAGCGACCGAGUUCAGCUCGGCUGGAAGUCCACACGUGGUUACUCUUGAAUCUCUUGACUGAUAGCUGCAUAUAUAAGUAGUCAAAAAGGAAGGCCAAUAACCGCAGCAUCGAACAGUAGAAAGAAGUUUAUAGACCUACCUGCCCGUUCAGGCUAGGGCGCUGCCGAGUGCCGACUCUACGUACGUAUACGAGCAUAGCCGCCGGCAGCUCCAGGGCGGCUACCGCUGCAUGGCGGCCAACGCGAGCGGGACGAUGACGGAUCAGCGGAUGGUAGACGGCGCGAUCCCAACGAAGAGGGCGCGUGAGCAGCCCGAGGAAAAGUUUGAGUACGUCGUCGAGAAGGACAUGGUGAGUGACCCCUAUCACCUUACCUGUUCAUCAUUAUGGCCGACAUUCUACAACAAAUAACAAAUGAUCAUUCACGCUCACAAGGAUGGUACUCUUCUACACCCCCUGUGUCCCCACCUCCCGUGCCCUGUUCUGCAAUAUGCGGACGAUACUCUAAUCAUCGUUAAAGCUACCACGAACGCAGCCAAGCACCUCAAACACAUCCUAGACGCCUUUGCCGCAGCCAGUGGCCUUCAAAUCAACUUCACCAAAACGACAAUCAUCCCCCUUAAUGUGGAUCCGCAGGAUGCCGCUCUAAUGGCCUCUGACCUUGAAACGAACAUCUCCUCCUUUCCUCAAACCUACCUAGGUCUACCCCUCUCCCCGCAUAAGCUGCCGCCCUCUGCAUUUCAGCCUAUCAUCGACCGAUGCGACACAUAUCUGGCUGGCUGGUGUGCCCUACUCCUCUCGCGUGGUGGCAAAUUAGUUCUCCUCUCUGCCGUCCUAGACAGUCUCCCCACGUAUUUUAUGCUUUGCUUUUCUCUGCCCGUCCAGGUUAUUGAAGCAAUUGAUAAACGUAGACGCACUUUCUUCUGGUCCAACGAUGAAACCUGCUCUGGAGCUAAAUGCUUGGUUGCUUGGGAUAAAGUGUGCACUCCUAGAGAUGCAGGUGGUUUGGGUGUUAAAAACCUUCGCGCACAAAAUUUUUGUUUACUGCUGAAAUUUGCUUACAAGUUUUUACACUCCACCUCCCUCCCUUGGAAGGACUGGGUUUUGUACCACUCACCUCUUCACAUUGGCUUUGGCAAGAACAGCUCCUUUCUUGCUAAGACUAUUUACAAACACCUGAAGAGCUUGAAAGAGAUUUCCCAGUGUACUGUUGGAGACGGUUGCUCCACCUUCUUCUAGUUAGAUCGAUGGCUAAAGCCAGAACCUCUGGCUAUAGUCUACCCAGCCCUUUUUUCCCACCAUACAAAUCAAAAUGCCUUGGUAGUUACAAUUGUGCAGGAAGGGAUCGAACUUGCUCUUCGUAAUCGGCUAACCACUACUGCGAUCGCAGAACUUGCUUCUCUAAACUCUUUGUUGCCGGAUUGUGCUUUCUCGCAGGUUCCGGACACUCGUCGCUUGCUCAACGGGUCCGCCUUCUCGACCCGGGGUGCAUAUGCGGCUCUCUCGGAUCAUCUCUCCGAUCCCAUGCUUGCCGCCAUCUGGGACUCAAAAGUGCCAAAAAAGGUUAUGAUCUUCGGAUGGCUCUUCUACCUCGACCGCCUCAACACCCGGAAGAACUUGCAUAAAAAAAAUCAUCCUUGAUUCUGAAGCUUGUCCAAGAUGUUCUCACCAGGUUGAAGAUCGCGAGCACCUGUUCUUUUCAUGCCCGGCUGCUCGGGGCAUUUGGCAGGCUACCUCCAUUCGCCCGUGCUUUACGCCUAUUAGUGACCUUUUCUCUACGAGGUUACCAACUGCAUUGCCAACUUCAGUCCGCUCCUUCAUGUUCCUAAUCAUCCUCUGGAAGAUCUGGGACGCACGGAACAAAAAAGUCUUCCAAGGAAUAGACCUUCCCACUGCUGAUUCCAUUAGAGCUAUUCUUGAUGACAUAACUAUAUGGGCUCCUCGGCUCAAAACCGAGAGCCUAAAGGAACACGCCGGGCUGUGGCGUGACUUCCUCUCCUCACAAAACAUGUGAGUUCUGUACUCUUCUGCUAUGUUUGAAAUAUAUUCAGGUGGGGAGCCUUUCCCCCCCGGUGACCAUUUCAAAAAAAAAUGGUGAAGCGGUUCAAGAGCAACUACUGGGCCGACCCGGCGGAACAACCCCGAUAUCUUCUUGCAGCGAUACGCUAGGGACAACAAAGCCCAUCGCCUCCUCAGGGAGAUCUAGGACGGCGCGAUCUCGACGAAGAGGGAGCGUGAGCAGCCCGACGAGGAGAACUUUGAGUACAUCGUCGAGAUGGACAUGGUGAAGCGGUUCAAGAGCAACUACUGGGGCGACCCGUCGGCCAACCCUGAUAUCUUGCAGCGAUACGGGCCGCUCUUUUCCCGGAUGGACGCCGAGGACAACGAGGCCCAUCGCCUCCUCAGGGAGAUCCGGGAGUGGCGCGCCCGUGGGUGCCCUGACGACGACACUGGGGCGACCUAGGACUGAUGCAAGAAGGCAAGAAGCUACCUCUCGUGGCCGUUUGAACGAUUACCGUCGCGUCGUUGCAUUGCGCGUCUGUCAUUUUCUCCUUUCCUAUAUUUUUGUAUUCCUUUUACAUUUUUAUGGAUGCUGUGAUAUUUCUUAAUGUACUAUAGUAAUGCAAUUUGAUAUCUCUUUACCUUGGCGUUGCAUGGAUGCUGCCUAAAUCUUGCUCUUUCUAGGAAUCUCAGCUAUGACGUGUGGCAAUAUAACCAUGAUCACCUUGCAUCGAUUGCAGAUUUGUAGUGGUACUCUCAUUUAUACACUUAAAUAAGUAUCAAGCUUAUACUUCUUAGGACAUCUCCAACGCCGACCCCAAAAUUGACACAAUACUCGUCUGCGGACGGACCCACCCGGAUACAGGGGUCGGCCAUCCAACCCUUUCUCCUAAACGACCGCCGCUAUUUUUCGAAGUCCGGAGCAUUCAAAAUAAUCGCAUGACAAAUCUUCAGUGAGUGAAAAUAUUCAAAUGUGACACUAGUUCAUCAUCGCCAUUUCAUCUGCAUACUCAUCCUCGUCGUACGAGUUGUCAGAUGACUCAACGUAGUUCUCAUACAAUGACUCCAUGUUUGAAUCCAUUGCUCCAUAGAAGCGGGAAAAAUUGUCAAAAUGUUAGCACGGCAUUUUACCAAACACUUGUCGGGUGUGGUGACCCCAUGGACUGCAUCCGCGAAGACGGAUGGUACCUGUGAGGCGGACAGACGAAAGGUAGAACAAAGGUGUAGCAGCCCGGUGGAGGGGGGGGUCCGGCAAGGGUUUGGCUAGCGACUGGAGUGAUACAACGACGGCGACACCCAGGGAGGAAGCAGAUGCAGAGCAAAGGAGAGCAAGUGGAUGGAAGGAUAUGAUUUUGGGUGGGUCGGGAGUGGCAGAGGUUUGGGCUCCCGCAAAGCCCCCUAUUUUGAUUCAGAUUUGUGGAAAAACAUAUGCGUGGACGCGUCCGCAGAUGUAUACGGGUCCGUGUUGGAUGACAAGCGGGGGAUAGGGAGAAAAAAAAGGAAACUUGAUUGAGAAGCUAUUUGUAGCAGAAAUUCAAAACGGUGCUAGGGCUCGUAUACUCGAGUUAGUCAACAUAAUUUUUGAAAAAAUAAAAAAUGUUUUAAAUAAGAGUAUGUUUGUGUCUUCUUUAGUAUAUGAAAUUUUUUAUACAUUCUUAUACACGUUUAACAUUUUGUAAAUACAUGAUUAAUAUUGUCUCAUACGUAUGUUUUGAUGUCUACUUUUUUUCAUACACGUUGUACAUUUUUCAUAUACAUUACUUUAUACAAAAUUAACAUAUUUCAAAUGCAUGAUUAACAUUUUAUCAAACACAAUGUUUUUAAUGCAAAUAAUGCCUGAAAUAGUGAACACAUUUUAAAAUUUGAAUAAAAUUUCAACAUGUGAUUUUUUUUCAAAAUCUGAACAAAAUUUGAAAAACACGAACAAAACUUUAAAACAUGAUUUAUUUAUUUUUUGGAAAAACAGGAACAAAAUUUGGAACAUGUGAAAAUUUCUGAAAACAUUGACAAAAGAGUUCGAUUCUUUUUUGAAUGGUGAACAAAAUUUGUUUUCUGGACAAUUUUUUUGAAUUGUGAACAAUUUUUUGAAAAGUGAAAUUAAUGUACGGUGAUCAUUAUUAUACAUAGUGAACAAAAUUUCAAUGUAUGGUGAAUAGUCCUUUUCAAUAUGGUGAUUUUUAUUUGAAACAUGAACAAAAUUUGAAAAACAUGAACAGUUUAUGGAAACAUGGACGGAAUUAUAAAUAUUUUCUGUAGAUUUUUUCAAAGAAAUAAAGUGUAAGAAAAAGAAAAGAAAAGAAAGGAAGAAAUAUACAGGAAAACAAAAAUGAAAGAAAAACAUGAGGAAAACCGUAAAAACCGAUAUAAAAAACAGGAAAAACCCGGUCCAAGGAACCUUCUAGAAGGUUCCCAAAUCCGGUUGUGGGGGGCGAAUAGGAUCGUGCAUUCAGCCAGACAUGUCACUGGGCCGGCCUAGUCAUACAAAGUUAAUUAAAAUAAACAGAGAAGGAAAAAUGGUGAGCUACCGAGAGCGAACCCUGGUCUCCAUGCAGACGGGAAAAUAUCUGGUGCACCGGAGCUUGUGGUGCUACCGGUGCACCGAACUCACAUUGUGCUUUUAAACUGUUUAAAAAAUUCUAAAAAAAAUUAACACACUCACAAAACAUCAAUGUAGGUUGUCACAAGAUGGUAAGUUAAAAUUCGAAACAUAGCUCGAAGAACAAAAAUGACAAAUUCAACACUGAAUAGUACAUAACAUAACUUGGGCUUUAGAUUUGGCCCAUUAUCACACUGACGUCAAAUUUGUUAUUUUUGUAUCUCAAAAUUUAUUUCAAAUUUUUAUACAUUGAAUUUUUUUAACAUGCUAGAUUUUUAAAAAUAUUCUAUGGCAUCCGGUGCACCAGUAGCACCACAAGUGCGGGUGCACCGGAUACAUUCCCCCAUGGACCCAACCAGCGCAGAUAGCCACUGGGUCCACGUCCUCUUCGAGAUAAAAAGUCGGGGCAUCACAUACUUUAGGUGACAUGAGCUCGGAUUUUUCACUGUUUUUCCUUUUUUUCUCUUUCUUUAUCAUGUUUUUUCUUUUAUUUUUUAUCUCUAGUUUUACUCUUUUUCUCCUUUCUUUCUUUUUUUGUUGUUUUUCUUCAGUUUUCUUUAUUUCUUUUUUGGUUUUAACUAGGUCUUUUUAUUUCUUUCUACUUUCUUUGUUUACUUCGGAUUUUUUCUUUUUAUUUCAUUUAUUUUAUAUUGUUUUCGGUUUGAUUUUUUUGUUUCUUUUUGNNNNNNNNNNNNNNNNNNNNNNNNNNNNNNNNNNNNNNNNNNNNNNNNNNNNNNNNNNNNNNNNNNNNNNNNNNNNNNNNNNNNNNNNNNNNNNNNNNNNNNNNNNNNNNNNNNNNNNNNNNNNNNNNNNNNNNNNNNNNNNNNNNNNNNNNNNNNNNNNNNNNNNNNNNNNNNNNNNNNNNNNNNNNNNNNNNNNNNNNNNNNNNNNNNNNNNNNNNNNNNNNNNNNNNNNNNNNNNNNNNNNNNNNNNNNNNNNNNNNNNNNNNNNNNNNNNNNNNNNNNNNNNNNNNNNNNNNNNNNNNNNNNNNNNNNNNNNNNNNNNNNNNNNNNNNNNNNNNNNNNNNNNNNNNNNNNNGCUUGAUUAACAUUUUUACUAUAUAAGAUUAAUAUUUUUUGAAUACGUGUCAACAUUUUUUUAUACACAUUUAAUAUUUUUCAAACAUUUUAUUAACAUUAUUCAAACACUUGUUCAACAUUUUUCUUAAAUGCUCGAUUAACAUUUCUGUAUAUAUAAUAUCAAUUUUUAACGUCAUUUUUAAUGCAUGGUCAAUAUUUUUUCUAUACAUAUUUAGCAUUUUGUAAAUUCUUGAUCAACAAUUUUCAAAUAUGGUUCAACUUUUUUUUCCAAAGACUUGAUUAACAUUGUUGUAUACAUGAUCAAAAAUAAUUGUCAUUUUUUUAAUACAUAAUCAACAUUUUUUAUGCACAUUUUUCGAAUACUUGAUCAUCAUUUUUCAAAUGCUUAUUCAACAUUUUUAAAAAUGCUUGAUUAACAUUCUCAUAUACAUGAUAAAAAAAUAAUCAUGUUUUGUAAUACAUGGUGAAAUGUUUUCUGUACACACUUAACAAAUUUCAAAUGCUUGAUCAACAUUAUUCAAAAACUUGAAUAACAUUUUUGAAAUACAUGAUUGAAAAUUAUACACAUUUUUUGUAUGCGUGUCAAACAUUUUCUCUCUAUACACAUUAAACAAUUUUCAAAUGCUUGGUCUACAUUUUCUAAAUAUUUUUAUAGAGUUUUUAAUAUAUAUUUAAAAUAUUUUAAAAUAUAAACAAAAGCCAAACUAAAGCAAAAACCAUACAAAAAAUGUAAACAAAAAGAGAAAAAAUGAGGGUGUGGCUCCCCGCGCUCCUAGGCCAGCCCAUCUUGUCUCCUCUUCAGCGAGGGCUCGUACCCUGUCGCUGAAGGUGAGAUAUAGGGGCGCCCUAGUCCCGCUGGCGGCGGGCAUCCUCCCUCAGAAGAGCCGAGCAGUACGACGGCGGCGAUGAAUAGAACUACCGCUAUAUUUUUUUUCCUUUGCAAUAGUGAAGAAUUCUUGACGAUAUCUAGCUGGAACAGCCUGUUCUUGAACUUAUAAUCAUGGAAUCGACUCGAUCAUCAUCAGAUUAUAAGUUCAUUCCAUAGCGAACCAGACGACGUAGUCGGGCCAUCUCACGCUACCCGUUUCCACACGGCACGCGCCAUGUCCUGUCGCCCCACGUCAACUGCCGGUGGGUGAGCGCCCUGAUCCGACCGUCCACCGCUCAUGCUCUUGUCCGCCCGGAUGCACCCACCUCAGUGCACCCCCAUUGGGCAGCCCGUCCCAUCGCCAGCCAUCCCCGUUGCCCCUAGGCAGGAAAACGAUAAAAAAAAUGAAGAAAACCGGAAAACGCAGUAAAAGAAAACAAAAACAGAAAAAAAAAACGGUUGCUCGCUUCAAGUGGGCUGGCCCGUGUAGCAAGCCGCGACAGUUGGACGCACGCGGGCCGCGAAUAAAAUCCCGCAGGGAGAGACAUAGUCGCGGCCACGGCGCGCGGGCUCCCACAAAAGAGGCAACCAGUACGACGACGCAGCCGGCCCAUCUCACACCACCCGUUUCCCCGCGGCCCGCGCCACGUCCCACCGCAUCCGCGUCAACGGCCGGUGGGUGAGCGCCCCGAUCCGACCGUCCACCGCGCUUAUCCGCGUUCGCCCAGAUGCACCCACCUCGCGCGCGCCCAUUGGGCAGCCCGUCGCGUCGCCACCCAUCCCCGUCUUUCCUACGCGGACACGUCGCGCGCCCGCACGCCGCCGGAGCCCACCACGUUCCGCUCAGUGGUCAGCCGGAACAAAAUCCCUACCCCGCACCACGCCCCCGCCCCCGUAUCCACCCACCCCCGCUGACACCCCGUCCCCCACACCCCGCCCGCACCCGAUUCCCACGAGGCCAAUCGGCGGGCGCGGCGGCCGAGAGAUCCCGAGCAGCGACAGGGGUGGGAUCUGGCCGUGUGCGCGAGGCAAAGAGUGGGUGGGAGCGCAGGCCUACUUUAUUACCCGGCGCGCACUAAUCCAGAUUUGGGGCCGUGGGUGUGUGGGUUUCGUCGCUGUGGGGCGACGUUUUAAAACGCACCGGCCCGAGCGCCUCCGCCAGGCCAACACCUGUCCUCCCCCGCUACCCCUCUCGCCGUCGCGGUCGCGCCCGCGGCCAACGACCUUCUUCCACCUCGCACCCACCCGAUCUCUCUCUCUCUCUCUCUACGUGCGCGCGCGCACCAAUCGCUCCUGGCAGCAGUAGUAGUAACUGCUCGGAUUUGCUCUUGCUAAAUUCGGCACUGCCGCCCAUACUUAAUCGAGCCCGGCCGCCUCCUGUCCUCCUGCUUAAAGCAGCUCGAGCUCGCUCGCUCGCCCGCUGCUCCCCAUCACGACUACCACGGCCGCUGUGUCUGUCAGGCUGGAGCUCGAACACCUGUAACGCCCUGACUUGUGCCUGCCUGUGUGCUUUUUGAUUCGGUUGGAUUAAUUGGCGGGAGUGAGUGAGGGGAUCGGAUCCGAUGGACUUUCCGGGAGGGAGCGGGAGGCCGCCGCCGCCGCCGCAGCAGCACCAGCACCAGCUGCUGCCGCCGAUGACGCCGCUGCCGCUCACGCGCCAGGGCUCCUCGGUCUACUCGCUCACGUUCGACGAGUUCCAGAGCGCGAUCGGCGGGCCGGGCAAGGACUUCGGAUCCAUGAACAUGGACGAGCUCCUCCGCAACAUCUGGACGGCCGAGGAGUCGCAGGCCAUCGGCGCCGGCCCCAACGCCGCCGCCUCGUCCUCCGCCGCGGCGGGGCCGGACCACGGCGGCAUCCAGCGCCAGGGCUCCCUCACGCUCCCCCGGACGCUCAGCCAGAAGACCGUCGACGAGGUCUGGCGCGACAUGAUGUUCUUCGGAGGGCCCUCCGCCUCCGCCUCCGCGGCCGCCGAGGCUCCCCCGCCGGCCCAGAGGCAGCAGACGCUCGGGGAGGUCACGCUCGAGGAGUUCCUCGUGCGCGCCGGCGUCGUGCGCGAGGACAUGCCGGGCCCGCCGCCGCCCGUCUCGCCGGCGCCCGUGGCCCAGGCGCCGCCUCCGCAGCCGCAGAUGCUGUUCCCUCAGAGCAACAUGUUUGCUCCUAUGGUGAAUCCUCUGUCCCUGGCGAAUGGGUUGAUGACCGGAGCAUACGGACAGGGAGGAGGCGGUGGUGGUGGUGCGCCCGCUAUGGUUUCGCCGUCGCCGACGGGGAGGCCGGUCAUGUCCAACGGCUACGGCAAGAUGGAAGGCCUCAACUUGUCCUCGCUGUCGCCGCCGCCGAUGCCGUAUGUUUUCAGCGGCGGGCUGAGGGGGAGGAAGCCACCGGCCAUGGAGAAGGUGGUCGAGAGGAGGCAGCGGCGGAUGAUCAAGAACCGGGAGUCUGCGGCGAGGUCGCGCCAGAGGAAACAGGUGAAAAUUUUAUUACUAUCUGAUGUGUUUGCUUGCUAGCAGUGACACGUGUUGCACAAUCAUAUAUCUUUGUCUUAACCAAAUUUUACUUCAGUAUGGCACAACAGCAGCUCUAAAAAAGGUAUUAUAGAAUACAACAAAGGAUUAAAGCUAACUUAUGUUAAAUUGACAUGGGCAUGCUAAAUUACAAAGGGUACAAACAUGAAUGAUCUCGAUUGCAUAGCCGCCGUCUUCGAAAAUGUUUGAAUCUUAGUGAGAACAAUAUCUAACACCAAUAGGUUCUCCUUGCCGUUGAGCUUCUGUAAAUCUCGGAUAAUCGAUAUUGGCUAAAUUUGUGCCUUCUGAUAUGCAACAGAGUUACAUGAUGGAAUUGGAGACUGAGGUGGCAAAACUUAAAGAGCGGAAUGAGGAGUUGCAGAGAAAACAGGUAUGAUACAUCUCCUGGCCACUUUUCUUGUUUAAUUGUAUUUGUAUUGUACUUCGGCAAUGCGCAUUCUAGCAUUCCUUUUUAUUUGUGACUAGUUGCCUUCUGGUUGAUCACCUCAAUUUAUCAGAGAAAAAUCUGGAUGAUCACUAUCUGGAUAUUUAGUUUCUAGUGAUAGGUCUUAGUCACCCUGCAGCAUUUAACAAAGUCAAAGUCAAUCAAAGAGAGAACAAAUCACAGAAUGUUUUCAACUACAAGUCUACAUACAGCAAGAGUGGUAUUUUUAUUGCAUGAUUUACUCUCAACAUUCUGUUGUGGAUUUCCACAAAACUAAAACUCAUGGUAGCAGUUAACAAAAAUAGGUUUCAGUGGCAGCUGUCGAAAUACUUCAGUGCUAAGUAUUUUGCUCCUCUAAUGGUAAAAGAUGAUCUUUUGUUUCUUCUGAUGAAUAUAAGACCUAGAUUAACUAUGGCUUGUCUGGAAUGGAUUGUUCCAUUACUAAACUAGCAGUACUUCUAAACUUUACUCUGCGUAUUAGACUGUUUCCUCUUAUUCUCUGUUCUUGCCUUGUUCAGUCUGUCACUGUUCUGUUACCAUCUUUGACGCAUGUUAUCUGAACUAGUUGGUUAUUUCUUCUAAUGUGCAGGCGGAGAUCCUAGAGAGGCAAAAGAAUGAGGUAAUUGCCUACCAUUUUGAAGAAACUGCUUUUGCUCUACUGAUACUAUUUUUUGCUUAUUUUACCAUUCAAGAGAAGACGGAACUGACCAGCCUAUGUGCGCUCUUUUGUUUAACUAGUAGCAUAUUUCGUUAGUAUAAAGGAAAACGUGUCUUGACCUAUGAUCAUGGAUACCCAUUCAGGAAGUAUUGCAAGCGACCUGUCAAUGUCAUGAAUAUAGUUUAGCUCUAUGAUGCAUGGUUUGAUUCAUCAACGAUAUUAUUAUGAAAAUCCAAGUUCUCGAAACUUGUGGUACUGAUACACUUGUUUGAAUAGGAAAUGUUAUGGUCUGAUUGACAGCUACUGAUGUAGAUGUAGAGUUCUGGUUUUCUUAUCGUAUACUUGACUUUACAAUGCCGUAUUGACAAAGUAAAGCUGUGUGAACUGCCGAAAUGAUAAGGCGAGGAUUGAUGUGGAUUUGAUUGAUAAUAUUUUCCUACAACAGGGGUUAGGUGGUAACAUUUAAGUGGCUUCAAAUGAUUUAAGAAAACCUUGAAUUGAUCGGCCAACUGCAAUGACUUUCGCUCUAAUAUUUCAUCUAUUGACCCAAGUGUUGUAUUUGUAAGGUUAGCUGUGUUCUAUUCACUUUUUUAUUUCACUAUUGCUACUAUUUGGUGUUACUUUGUUCAUCUGUAGUACCAGCUUAACAAGAUAAAAUGUUGGGAGUAAACAAAUUACACAAGUGCAGUUUUUAGACCAGAGAUUAUGUGUGUGUCGUCAACUAUAUAUGUUUUCAUCUGAUUGAAAGAGCUGUUCAAUUGUAUUUCCCCCAACAUCGCAUCUAAAGUCAUCAUUCUUUAUUAACAUUUCCCAUGAGAAAUGGUGUUUCUUUUGUGUAACAACAACAAUUUCAGCUAUUUCUUUUUUCUUCUCUUUCUUGUGGGAAAAUUUCAGCCACUUUCAUCAUGAUACCAUAUAGGACUGGUUAACAACUCCAUCGUUUUCCAGCUUUCACUGCCAGAUUGGCCAAGUUUUCGUCAAUUAAAAUUUUAGUUAGGGGCUGGUCCAGAUUGUGAGAGCUUUAGCGUUCCAUAGGGUGGUCGAUGAUGACCUUGGUUAGGGGCUGGUACUGUGCCUGGCUUGCUGUUUUUUAAGUUCAUGUACAUAUGUGUUUGUAGCUCUCUUUUCUUCUAAUAGAAUGCGCAGUGCUCCUGCUGCUCGUUCUUGAAAAGAAAAGAAAAUUAGUUACCUGCACAUUUUUUGCUGAACUUCAUUUUGAAGUUCACACAUCAUUAUCUCCAUGAUAUUAUGAGAAAUGUGUGGGCUUUCUGAUUUAGGGCAGGGACCUUCUGUCUUUCUUUUUUCAUCGAUUUUUUGUAAACUCUGCCAAGAAAAAGGUUAUGGUCUCUCACCUGUUUCUCGACCUUCAAGUUCCUUGGGGCGUAGUUUUCUUUUGUGUAUGUUGACCCACUUAGCAGUCGUACAAAGCCUUAGACUGUUAGACACUUGACCCAGGUUCCACUCUAUACAAUCAUGUUUCAUUCAUAGGGAAAAGGGUGAAACUUCUGCCAUAAUUUGGUGGUACAUGAUUACAUUUUGUUUUGCUGUUCCUAGUUAAAAGAAGUGACGGCUCCUCCAUUGUUCUGUAGGCAUUGUCAUAUGUCAUUUCUGAGAUUGCCUCGUUACAUUUCAGGAAAUAAUUUUUUGCCCUAACAUAAUUUGGAAAUGGUAUAUGCAGGUAUUCGAGAAGGUUAGCAGGCAAGCUGGACCUACCUCAAAGAGGAUCUGCCUGCGGAGGACGCUGACGGGUCCUUGGUAAGCCGAAGGCCUGUAAACUAGAGCACACUACUUUCAACGCUGCGAAGUUUAUACAUACAGUAGAUGAAUUUCAGAAUCGCCAGGAGUUGCGCUUGUAGAGCAGCCACUGAUCCGAUGCUUCAGAGUUCAGACUCCUAGGCCGAUAGACUGCCGGCGAUCUUCGCUCGAUAGGUUUUUAGCCGUCCGCGUGCCGUUCCGUGUGAGUAGAGAGCAUUUGUAUGUAAAAAUCUAUUUAACCAUGUGUUGGUGUGAUACUACAUUUUCUAUUUAUUUUUUUCUGUUUCGAGGACUCAUUACACAACCAUGUUAGAAAUGAGUUUGUAUUCUUCAUAAAAACGAUGCCCGGUCGGCUUGUAAAGCGGAACUAUUUGCGCAUCUGUAGAUGAUUUUCCUCCAUUGUGCGCAUCUUCAGAGAGUGAACUGAACUGAGCUACUUUGCAGAGUAAAGAAGAUGUGUGUCUGAUGGGCAAAUCAGACACAGCAAAGCUUCUUGUAUCUGGUAAGCACAAACCGAACUAGUUUGAUUCGAGUACUCGGCAUCAGUGGCUGCUGUAGGCUGUGUGUUUCUGGCUCCAUUACCAUGUCAAUGGAGCCAUGUAUGUAAGCUUUGUAUACAUAAACCAUGGCACUUGGUCAUGUGGAACCAGAACCAAAACGUCUGUCUGUAUAUUACGAGAACUUCCGGAUCAAUAAUGUAAAUUACAACUAUCUUUUCUGGAGGUCCAUAUGGGCUGAACGUGGGUAGGCCGGAGCCAGAAUCGUUGGGAGCAUAUUCCACCUGCUUAAGGUCCGUGCAAAGCACCGACGGGCGCGUGGUUGGCCAGGGACGUGACACGCAGGCGUGCCGCGCUAGCUUGCCUGCCCUCGUGGCCAUCCUAAUCACGUGAAUAUACAAACUGGAAACUCGCUGUCCGGACACGUGCCCCAGUGCGGCAUCCCAUGUUCUUCCCUCCCGUCAGAUCGGAAAACGCAGGUGCGUUAGCUCGGAAUCAUCGGCCCAUCAUCGAUGGCAGGGCUGAACUACCUGAUGCGGACAGCAGGCCGCUUGUACGCAAAUUGCAGGUGUACCGCGCGCCGGUGCGGGGAAUUUCACCGGGCAGUAAUGGGUUGGUUCCGUUGCGAUUCAAAUCAAAAGAGACGCAGUUAUUGGCAGGCUCGUGGUACCGCCGUGACGACCAUCAAGGCCGUGUCACCGUGCUGCCGUGAGGCUGUACCAUCCUGACACCAAUAUCCCAACCUCUGCCGUUGCACUGCAGCUCAGGAGCUCAACGGUUCUACCUCUGCCGGGCAUUUGCGCUCAGUGAGCAUCUACAACCGGACUCCAUAUCCCUUUUCCUGGGCCAACAAUCCGGAUCCGACCACUGGGAGGCGGGAGCUUGCCGCCUACUCAGACAAGAAGGAAAGAACCCUCCAAAUCAUAGUCCGUCGUUCCCUGGAGGAUACUGGAUAUCAGACCUCCGGCGUGGGAGCCAUCCUGCGACAAAUCCACCGACACUCUGGUUGGCAUCCAACGGCGACGGCGUGCCGAGCGGAAGCUCGCGCCGCAUGCCCGCACCGUCACCGUAGCCUAUGAGCGCACCUGAGCGGGUCACUGCAGAAGGCUUCGCCGCCCCGGGUCAAUGUAUCCCCAGCGUUGUGUCCUUGUCCCCGCGACGUCAGACUCGGAGUCCUAGGUCAAUGGCCGCAAUGCCCAAGGUAACAUAUGUGCCACAUGCUAUAACUGUGGAGGCACACCCAAGGUCGAUGGACACCGUGCUCGUCGUCAAAGGGAGAAGGUGUGGCACGCAGCGGCAGCUGGCGACGAGGAUGCCCAUGCCAAGAUGUUGCAAAGCGGCGAGCCCGGAUCGCCCUCACUAUGGAGCAUGCCCUGGUCGUUCGUUUGCUCUCGCCAGAAUUCCCCCAAGGAGGAUCUGAACAUGUCCAGUGUCGUGUACGACACAUUCAGCUCUCGCGACGAGCAGAUCCGCCUCAACCUCUAUUACGCCUUUGACCGCUACUUCCGUGACCAUGGGGACAAUGGUAAGGGUUAGGGUAAAGGAAUGGGCGGGCGUGGUCGAACUUCAUCUAUAGUCCUAUGAAGCAGAACGUGUCAAAUUUUGGUAGUCCGACGAAUCAACUUCCCUAUGCUAUGUCCUAAUUUAGUACUCCCUCCGGUCCUUUUUACUCUGCAUAUAAGAAUUGUCUGAAGUCAAACUUCGUAAAGUUUGACCAUAUUUAUAUGAAAAAAUAUUAACAUCUACAUUUCUAAAUUUAUACAAUAUGAAAAUUAAAGUCAUGACACAUUUAAUGUCGUUGAUUUCGCACUAUGAAUGCUAGUAUAUUUUUCUAUAAACUUGGUCAAAGUUUACGAGGUUUGACUUCAAACAAAUCUUAUAUGCGAACUAAAAAGGACCGGAGGGAGUACGGUAUGCAUGAACAUCAUCCUAUGCCCUGUACGAACUAUGAAAGUAUGCGUGUUGAUCCAUAUUGCAUGCUUGUGUAUGAAUUUGAGGAGGAGAAUUGUUGCGCGGACUAUACGUGGAUGUGUCCGGACGUGUCAACGAACAUAAAAGAGUCAGAUUUGCCCAUUCGUAGAUUACUGAAUUCCACUAGGGUAGAAUGAGCUGAUUGAGAGAAGAGAUGGGUGGUGGCACUGACAGCUACGGUGGACAGCUAGCCGUGCCGAGACGGCGACAGAGAGGGACAGCCAACGAAACCUGCUCUCCAUCUCGUUUCCUCCCGUUCCCAUACGGGUCCGGGGCCAGGCGGACCACAGCCUGUCCCAUCAUUCGCGAUAAAGGGAAUUUUCUCUGCAGAGGGGUGAACGCCGAACAAAUAAUUCUCUUCACCACUGCAGAAAGGAUGGUGGUACAGUAUCUAUCCGUGUCGUCAUCCUCCUUUCUCGAAUCUCGACGCAGAACCCUGUCGCCUGGUCAUAAAAACCUAGAUCAUGAUUCACACACACACACAAAAAAAAAAAAUCUAUCCCCGUUGCUUGGUCGUCAGAUGAGGCAAAGGAUCGGCGAGCUGCUUCAGAUUGUUGUUGCUUGAUCGGGUGGCCAAUGACAUGAGGGGGGAUUGAUUUGGUGAGCAAACCCAAUGGCAGCAUCCAUCGCCCAUCGAUUAUUUUGCAAGAGGAAGAAGCAACAACAACUGCUACCAGCCAACAGUUUAUUAUCAAUUCCAGGAACGCGAAUUAAAAUUAAUCUAAUCUACCUGCUGAUGAUUGAUGGUGAUGAUGCGCCAAUGUACAGGGAUGUCGAAAUUAUUACUACGACGAAAUCAGGGGAGGUAACUACUAACGGAAGCAAUGCCUCCGCGACUGAAGAUCAGGGGAGGGGAGGAGGAACUAAUUAUAACAGAGGUAACGCGGAUUACGGAGUAUGGUUUUCGAAUUGCUCAACGAUAAACAUGUGACAGAAAGUCGAUUAGUAGCAGCAGGCUAAGCUAUAGCUAGUCCAAGAUGCGAUGCCAGAGCAGAUGUGGAAGGCGGCUGGCCGAUCGUCCGACGACACCUAAUAGAUUCUCUUCUCGUUGCUUGCUUGCUCAUCAUUGGUUGCUUCUUCGAUCUCGAGCCAGGGAGGGAUGAUUCUUUUCUUCUGCGUCGCUGGUUGUCCCUCCUCUGAAUUCGGUAUAGCUUUCACGUUGGCGUACCACGGAGUUGUUGAUGGCUGGUUGGUUCAGGAGCGGCUGCGCAUGGACAGCGCCACCACCUGCGCCCACUGCUUCAGCCUCAUCUUCACC